AUGGCCUCUAUUGAUUUCUUCCUUGGCAUUUUUGCUCAUAGCCACUACUGCCACGGCUGCUUAUGAGCCUUACAUUUAUGCCUCACCACCUCCACCGCCUUACUAUUACAAGUCACCACCACCACCAGAAUAUUCUCCACCACCACCUUACUACUACAAAUCUCCACCACCACCUGAGAAGUCUCCCCCGCCACCUUACUACUAUCACUCACCACCUCCUCCUAAGAAGUCACCCCCACCACCUUACUACUAUAAGUCUCCGCCUCCGCCGAAGGAAUAUCCCCCACCACCUUACUACUACAAGUCUCCGCCACCACCGGAGAAGUAUACCCCGCCACCUUACUACUACAAGUCUCCGCCCCCACCCGAGAAGUAUACCCCGCCACCUUACUACUACAAGUCACCGCCCCCUCCGCCACCUUACUACUACAAGUCUCCGCCACCACCGGAGAAGUAUACCCCGCCACCUUACUACUACAAGUCACCGCCCCCACCCGAGAAGUAUACCCCGCCACCUUACUACUACAAGUCACCGCCCCCACCGGAGAAGUAUCCCCCUCCACCUUACUACUACAAGUCACCGCCCCCACCGGAGAAGUAUCCCCCUCCACCUUACUACUACAAGUCACCGCCCCCACCAGAGAAGUAUCCCCCUCCACCUUACUACUACAAGUCACCGCCCCCACCAGAGAAGUAUCCCCCUCCACCUUACUACUACAAGUCACCGCCCCCACCAGAGAAGUAUCCCCCUCCACCUUACUACUACAAGUCACCACCGCCACCAGAGAAGUAUCCCCCUCCACCUUACUACUACAAGUCACCACCGCCACCACCUUAUUAUUAGAAGUCUCCUCCACCUCCCUCUCCAUCUCCACCCCCUCCAUACUACUAUAAGUCGCCACCUCCUCCUUCUCCAUCUCCACCCCCACCGUACUAAUAUUUGUCUCCUCCACCUCCUAAAGGCUACUAAAUAUACAAUGUGUUGUUGAAACAUGUGUGAUCUUAGUUAUGUAAGAAUAAGUGUAAGUUUGUAAGCUUGUUCUAUUUCUGAUUUUUUCUUCAUCAAUGUUUUUGUGAAUAAAAGGAUUUGAGAUGGUAAAUCCAUUUGUAAGAAGUGCUGCUCAUUUUCGUUGUAAAAGUUAUUGUAAGCAAUAAGAUCUCGUAAUUUAAGGUUUCAUAAAAGUUAUAUGUGCAACUACUUUCAAUUUCCAUUGUCAUCUUUUUCACAACCACCAAGCGUAUUACUUCUUUAUAGAUGGAAAAUGCAGAGGCAAGCUUAUUAUUCUUUAAUAUUACCAUUCUUGAUGUGUUUGUUUAUUUAGUUGAAACGGUAAAUAAAAUGUACAUGAAGUACCGCACUGCAUCCAAAUUAAAUUUAGGAUAUAGACUAAGUUCAUGUAAUCUCAAUUUUGUCACAUUAUUAUUGGAUUUUAUAUAAAUAGCUAAUUUCUUUUCCUUCCGAAUUUCGACGGGAAGGAGAAUUUAUUAAGUAAUACAGAGAAGUGCACCUAGUAAUAUUUAAAGAGGAUAUAAUGAGCACUACCUUUCAUGAUGAUAAUGCCCAUGAACAAGUAAGAGAAGCUUAGAGUUUUAUUCCUACUCAAAUCAGAUUCUACGGAGGAGUUAUAUUCGUACCUUUUUAACGCUUUACAUAUAUGAUUAGAGAAUUAUGAGGACAUAAAUUCCGCUAUAAAUUUGUUGUUAUAUUUAGAGGAGUUUACAUGACUGGAGAAUUAUACACACAUAAAUUCUUUGAUGUCCAUUUUAAAUUAUAUUCCAAAAGGGAAAAUGUUUUCCGUUUAUGGUUUAAAAAUAGAAGCUUUGUGCUUUUUUUUUUUAAAAAAAAAAUCUAGAUCAUUCAGUGAAUAUUGGUUGUUAAUUUACUGCCAAAAUACUCGUAAGUUUAUUUAUUUAUUCUGUAAUGCAACUUUUGGGAUACAUAAUAAUCAUAUAAAUAAAUAAACUAUAUUGUAAUAUAUUUCAAUUAACUUGUUGACUUGUAUGAAAAGAGCGUGUCAUUACCUUUUAUGCCUAAUUAAAUUUACAAUUUUAGUCCCUAUGAUUUUUUUUUUUCAAUCAUUAAUUCCAUGCUCUUAUGAGUAGAAACAUAUGUAGAAUUUUGAUAUUUAAGAGUUGGUGGAGUUUCUAUGAUAUUUUGUACCUGUGGCUCAUCAUUUCACCACGGUGGGCAACUUCAUGGAUUUUGUCCUCUAAAAGGUAGCACUCUAACUUAAGAUGCCAUGUUCUUCAGAAAGUUAUCAAAUAGUUGAAUAGUUAUAUUAAGUUUAUUAUUGAUAAGAAUCUUAAUUAACUAGAUAUAGUACUUAAUAUACAAUGUUUUAUUCGUGAAAUUGUUGAACUAUUUUCACCAUUUUUCAAUGUCAUUUUCAGGAUGAGCUAUCAUUUGGAAUUUCAUUUUCUAUGGACUCUCACUUUUUCCCAUAACCACUUUUUUUGUUUAUAUUUUAUCAGAUUAAUUAUUCCUUGUUUGUUUAGAAGGAGCUUUCAUAUUGGAGAAAUACAUUACGUAUCUUAUAAAUCUAUGCAUCUUUACCUUUUUUUUUCCCAAAAUAAUUAAAAAAAAAAAAACCUCACCAAUGACCAAUCCAAUGUUCAAUAUGAAAAGUUUGAAGAAAAAAUGGUGUGAACUAAAACAAAAUAUAUAAUUUUGUCACAAUCCAAGAAAAAAAAAUCAUUAUAAAAUAUAAUUAAGAGGUAGCCACCUUCUCUACAUCAAUUUGUCACAAAACUAUAUCAGUGAGAUAUAUGCAAGACUCACCCAUUGGUACAAAAGAAAAUGAUCAAAGUGGAAGCAAAAAUGUGGUGAUAAUUUAGAUGAUCUCCACUCCCCAUUUAGUUUCAUUUAUUAAGUUAAUGUUUAAUCAAGAGUCUAAUUACUCAUUUUAUUAUGUUAUUAAUCAACUGCCGCCCCUUCCACUGGUUCAUUAUUUUUUAUGGAAUACAAAAAACAGACAAUAAUAUUCUUUGACAUAGCUAGGAAUAUAGCCCACUUGCAAGAGACUUACAUUCCAUCGCUCCCUAAUUUCCCGUGUAACAUCUUAUCUUGCAUCACAUCAGAGACGUGUUCGUUUGCACAGCCAUUUCGUGAAUAUAAAAUUGCUGCCGAAUAAGCAUCUAAUCAAAAGAAUUUGUCAACGGUAUAAAUUAAAAUAUAAAAAACGAGUAAAAGAAUUUGUCAAUAGGAUAUGGGAGGCCAUGGCUUCAAUCGGUUUGUGCAAUGGUCAAUGGCAUAUUUUUGCUCAUCGUCACCACUGAAUCCACUGAUCAUUUGUGCAUGUGAGUUGUUUUUGAGCAUUUAUUUUUCCCUUUAGAAGCAUAAGGAUAAGGCUAGUCUUCUUUUUGGGAGGACUUAUUGCUUCCAUUCGUUAAAAUUGGGCAUGUAAAAUGUCAAGAAAAAAUGGCCUAAGUGGCUAGCUAGAUGAUAUAAUGGAUGGUUACUACUCAAACCUAGCAAUAAAUGAAUGUCCGACAAGCAUUCAAAUGAAUGAAUAAAACCAAUCAGAUUAGAAUAUCUAUUUAUGAUAGAUUAAUGAAAAUACGAUUCAAAUAUAAGGUAAAUAAUCUCUCCAUUAAUUUUUUAUUGUUUCAGGCAGGGUUGCCAAGCCUCUGUCCGGGCUUCUAUAAGCUCAAUUCCAGCUCUCCUAUAUGAUUGAAUUAGAUCGGGCUAGGCCCUCGGACUUUUUAAUUAAAAAAGGUCGAUUUUUAAGUUUAUGAAGUUAAUACACUCACGCUUAUACUUUAAUAUUUUUAUUAUUUGGCUUUUAGAAUAUUAACGUGUAAAUUACUUUUUUUUUUCAAGUGAAAUAAUUAUCACAUUUUGUCUUCUUAGUAUAUAUUUCUACCUUUUUGUUCCUAUAGAUAUUUCCUCAUUUCAUCUUUGGUACUAGAGCGUAGUAAAAAAACACAUGAUUAAAGAUAAAUAUGACAUUUUAACUAACAAAUUAAUUAUUUGUAUCUAAGAUCUAGCUCUAGUGGUAAAGAUCAAUUUUCAUCGAAUUCAAGUCUUGGGUUUGAAUUUAAAUGCAUGGGUAAGUUAAUAAUAAUAAUAAUAAUAAUAAUAAUAAUAAUAAUAUCAAAUUAACUAGCUUUAAUUUGCAAAGGUCUUAGAUAAUCAAUUCGCUUGUAAAAAUAUCAAAAUUUUUUUUAAUCAAUGAAAUUUUCAAGUCUCUAGUUUUAGCACAAGGAAUGAAUUAAAAGAGUAAUGAUAAAUAUUUUACAAUUUUAUCCCAAAUGAUAAGACAUGUCAUGUGUCAUGUAUUAAGUGAUUGAUGAUUUUUUUAUAAAUUUUAAGUGGAUGAAAUAUAUUAUUUCACCAACCAGUAAAUGAAUAUGACAUCAUUUGAGAAGGAAUUUUAUGGUACAAUUUUGAAAUAUUUAUCACUACUCAAUUAUAUACAGUAUAAAAAAUCUAAUAGGGACCAAAAAUAUAAAAACAGAUUAAGAAUAAAAAAUAUAAAAGUCAAUUCCUAAUUAGGAGAAUGAAAGUGUCAUUCCCCUGUAAUCAUUUCACUAGAUAUUAUGUAAAUAUAUUAAGGCAAAAUUUUAAUAGAAAAUUGGUACCCAAACCUAACGUCUUUGACAUUGCUGCCAAGAUCACUCACAACUUACAAGAAUAAAAAAUUGGUAUUAAAUUUAUUAAUGUUCUCAAGGAAUUUUUAGCUUGACUUUACAUUUCUCGGACCCAUUUGUCACAUAACACCUUAGUUCGUUAACAAAGCCCUUUCAUGAGAAUAUUAGAACUGCUGUCGAAUAAGCAUCUUAACAACCCCUUUUUGACAUACAUGCAUGCCUCCUUCUGUGAACAAUUUGAAACAUAAAAUAAAAUUUCAAUCGAUGUGAGGGUUGGAGUAUUUUAUAGCUUUUGACCUCAUUAAUUAUGAGUAAGAGAAUAUUUCUACGUCACUAAUGGUUAAAAUGAUCACUAUAUAAAGGGUAGCAAAGUAUGUUUAACAUCAAGUCAGAAAACACAAUUUUUAGGAAAUGGGAACUCGGGGACAAGCGAGGCAAUGGCCUCAAUUGUUUUGUGCUAUAGCAUUUUUGCUUAUAACCACCACCACCAAGGCAUCGGCUGAUGAUUAUGCCUCAGCACCACCACCAAAGUAUUCUUCUCCACCUCCUUACUACUACAAAUCACCACCUCCUCCUUCUCCCUCUCCACCUCCACCAUAUUAUUACAAGUCUCCCCCACCACCAUCUCCGUCUCCUCCACCACCUUACUACUACAAGUCACCACCACCACCAGUGCAUUCUCCCCCGCCACCUUAUUACUACAAAUCUCCGCCGCCACCAAAGUAUUCUCCCCCGCCACCUUAUUACUACAAAUCUCCACCGCCACCAAAGCAUUCUCCCCCACCACCUUACUACUACAAAUCUCCACCGCCACCAAAGCAUUCUCCUCCACCACCUUACUACUACAAAUCUCCACCACCACCAAAACACACCUUACUAUUAUAAAUCACCACCUCCACCAAUGAAGUCUCCACCUCCGCCAUAUUACUAUAAAUCACCACCACCACCAAAGCAUUCUCCCCCGCCACCUUACUACUACAAGUCUCCACCACCACCAAAACAUUCCCCACCACCACCUUACUACUAUAAGUCACCGCCUCCACCAGUAAAGUCUCCACCACCGCCCCCAAAGCAUUCUCCCCCACCACCUUAUUAUUACAAAUCACCACCUCCACCAGUGAAGUCUCCACCUCCGCCACCUUACUAUAAAUCACCACCACCUCCAAAGCAUUCUCCCCCUCCACCUUACUAUUAUAAAUCACCACCUCCACCAAUGAAGUCUCCACCUCCGCCAUAUUACUAUAAAUCACCACCACCACCAAAGCAUUCUCCCCCGCCACCUUACUAUUAUAGAUCUCCACCACCACCAAAGCAUUCUCCCCCACCACCUUACUACUAUAAGUCACCACCUCCACCGAAGAAAUCCCCACCUCCACCAUAUUAUUAUAAGUCGCCACCACCACCAAAGCAUUCUCCCCCACCUCCUUAUUAUUACAAAUCUCCACCACCACCAAAGUAUUCUCCACCACCACCUUACUAAUACAAAUCUCCACCAACGCUAUCUCUAUCCCCACCUCCAUCUUACAUUUAUAAAUUCCCACCUCCACCAUCUAUAUCACCUCCACCACCACCUCCAUCACUGUCACUAUUGCCUCGCUACUGUUCCAAGUCAUCACCACCUCCUGAAGACUACUAAGUUCAAUGUUCCGUCUUCAAACAAAUUUAAAAUUCAAUAAGAAUAAAUUUGUUCCUUCAGUUGCCUUUUUCAUGAAUUUUUAUGUUAAUGUUUUUACGAAUAAUUUUUAAGAAGCGUUCGGUGUAUCAUUGUCAUGUGCAAUAAAAAUUUUCUAACUUAAUGUACCCAAAAAAAAAUGUUCCACAAGAAAUAUUCUAUUGUUUUAUCACAAAUGUGUUGUGGCACAUGUAAUGCGCCUAGAUAAAGUAAUAUUAUGUCUUGAUGAACAAUCAUGCACAACAAUGAUCAUGUACAUAGUUCUUCCAAUGUCAUGAUAAUGUCCAUGCACAUAAUAACAAACUUCUUCCUUGUAAUAUCAAAGAAAAUGAAUAUACAAGCCUCUUAUUCUCUAAUCAUUCACUCAAACAACAUUGUUUUAAUUUAGGUUUUGAUCAAUCUUAAUGCUCAUAAAUGCUAACUACAAAUCAUAUACAAGAUCAACAAAAACCAUAUUUUAAAUGAAUUAGAAAAACAAACAUUAGACUUAACCAAGUAGUUAACCUUUAUUAUUCUCCUAGGUAGAUUACAAGCUAUCACUGAAAAAAAAAAUCAUCUAAAAUGGUGAACAAAUGCGCUCUAAAUCAGUUGCAUUCAUUUGUUCAGCUAAGCAAUAAAAUAACCCUUUUCCAUUUUAACUUAUAUACUUUGGCAUGGUAACUUUAAAUAACACCCUCAACUUGACAAAUUUUAAUAACCAAAGCGAUCAAUAACUGUAAAUCUUGACAAAAUUUUUUACUUUAGUUAAAGCCAUAAACAUAGUAUUAAAUAAAAUGAAAAAAAAGGCCAUAAACAUAGUGUUGAAAUACCUUUAUACUUGUGAACUAACUUUUGAUGUUGAUUAAGCUCAUGUACCCUCAACUUUUGUAUUAUGAAUAUGCUUAUGCCCUAUCUUAGGUCUCCUCUAUGAACUCCUCCAUGAACCACUUUUUUUUUUUUUUUUAAAAAAUAAAUUCAUUAUGAUACUAAGGUAUAAGCAGAAGUAAAAUUCCUUUAAUAUUAUUGUAAUCAGGAUGUGGCUACCUAGGUGAUACAUGAAUUGGUUAUUUGUACAUUUUACUACAUUUUUUUGAGUUUGCUUGCUAUUUUUCUCUUUGUUCCAAUAAUUCCCACACGAGGAUAAUCUCAUUUUAACAAAGAAAGAUACUACUGAAAUACAACAAAACAUAAAUUCUAAUAUACUAGAAAAUUUUUUUUUCUUUGCCUUUUCAUAUCUUAGAGUUAUGUUUUUAUCCUCUUGUAGUGGCAUAUAUGCAUUUUAACUAGAAUAUUCUUAUUUGAGAAUUAUUAAUAAGAGAGUGGUAGACAAAUGAUACAAAACUAUGCUGCUUCACGAUUAACAACACAUUCAAUCGAGUAACGAUAGAGAGUCAAUUCUAACACCACGAGAAAGCAAACAAAAGUUGAAAUAUUUUAGCGAAUACCUUUUAAAGUUUGAAUUAAUAAUAAAAUUGUCCCAAAAAACUGCCUUAAUGGAAUUAAUGUGGAGAUUUAGUGGUAGGGUGCAUCAAUAUCAUUUUCCAGAAAAAAAAUAGUCAAAAUAUGAAAGGUUUGUUCUGCAGGUGGUUGAUAUUGCUGUACAUUAAUAUCAAUGAUACGUACCAAAUUCUAUUAUAAAAUUCAUUAAUGUAUAAGUAGAAUAUUUAAUAAAUUAAUUCCGGGUAAAACGUCGGUGAUAUGAACAGUAGCGAAGCUGCAACCGGGUUAGCUUUUUUUUUUAAUAAAAAAAUAGUUAAUUAUAAUUUAUGAAUUUGCCUUUAUUAAUACUUAAAAAAAUAAAAAUAAAUUUAAUAGCCCACCCCGAUGCUAGCUAAGCUAAAAAUAAAAUAUAUCGAAUAAAUGGUGAAGAGAAAGCUGUAAUAAUUAUCGUAAUUACAGUGAGAAGCUGUAAUUUUCUUGAACACGCUUUGACGUACGAUUAGCAAAAAAGUCGUCUGUCUAUAAGCAAUUGGCCGUACAGCAUCUUAACUAUUCCGUUGACAUUGUAAUUAAUUAAUUGAUGACUUUUCUAUAAUUUCUUUGAACCAAAUGCAGAUAUUUAGUGGGCAACCCGCAACCCUUGCUUGGCAAAAUAUAGGAAAGAAAAACUUGAAAUUUAUAAAUGUUACAUUUUGUUUGGAUGAAUAAUUUUGAGAUAAUGUUUCAGUUUUAGAUUUUGUUACCGAUACCUAAUUAUAAUAAUAAAAAAUAUUGCAUCAUUUUUUUACCAACAGUUACAAUACAUUUUAUUUUUUUUUCUUCUCAAUAUUUAAACUCGAAUAAUCAGUUAAAAGUUGCUCGAGAAUGUUUAAAAGCCAUUUAAGUAUACCACGUCAUUCAUGUUUUGCAAUCAUUCAAUUGUUAAUAAGUUUCCCAUGUGCUGAAAAUAAAUAAAAAUGCACGUGCAUAUGUCAUAUUGUCUCCGAAACCUCACAGCGGAAUGAGUGUAGUACUUGCAAUGCAUGUACUUUAGACUUUGUAUUUCUCUUAUUUAAAUGAUCAAUAAUUUUUCUUUGUCCUUUAAUUAGACGUCAACAGUCGAAGUUGUGGGCAAGUAGUAGGCUAUAUAUAAUAAUUUCCUGGAGAUCUUCCGUCUUCUAAGACAUUGCAAAUGCCAAACGUGAUAACUAUUUUGAUAAUUCAAAUACUACAUAAAAUAUAUGAAGUGUCAGACAAGUCAAAAGAAUUGAUUCUUCACAAUUGUAUAUACGUAUACACACACUUUGCCCAAAUCCCAUUGUAUCCAGGCUGUAAUUUUUAUAUUAAACGAACAUAUUUUAUUUUAUGUCAGCAAUAUUGAUGCAGGCUGGUGGAACAACAGCUUCAGGAUGGUCAACUACCCUUCGGAUCAUUGCAAGUGGGAUGGCAUCACUUGCAAUUCAGAUGGAACCAUAAUCGGGCUAAAAUUAUCAGGGUAUGAUGUUGACUUCAAAAGGUAGUCUUCGUAAAAUUAUCAUGGUAUAAUAUACGUAUUUAUUUUCGCAUACAUAAAUAAAUAACAAAAUUGUAAUUAAUUGGAUACAACUUCAGCUUUUGGACUGGUUUGUGAAAAUCGGAAAAAUUUAAAAAUGCUCCUCUUGAACAAUCAAAAUCUACUUUAUACGUGAACAAAGGGGAUGAUUCGUAAAGAUAAUUCAUCAAUGUUUGAUUACUUUCAGAAAGAUAGACUUCAUUUGAUCUCGUCCCAAAGCAUAAUUUCACUUUGAAUUUGAAAAAGAAUAAUGAAGUUCAUACGAUGCUGUUGUGACCUUUUUUUUUUGUUUUCUUUUUUUCUCGACGUUGUUUUGUGAAUCAUAAGGGUUAAUUUAGUACGGUGGGUUCGCUUGUAUGAAGCGUACUUAUUGUACCAUUCUGUUGCAAGUAAUGAAAAAACGCUAUAAUUUUUUUUAGGUUUCUACAAGUAUUAUGUUAUCUUAUAUCUAACUGUGCAUCUCUAUUCUUUGCUCUCAGUUCAGGUUCUCUAAAAGUAUAUUAAUUAUGAAAAGCAUUAAAGGUUCCGAAACUCUAUUUUGCGGGGAAAAAGAACCUCCAUUUUUGGUUUUUUAUUAUCAUAAGAGGUUUUACUAUGCUCGUAAUAACUUAAUCGAAAUUAAACAUAUCACUGGUCUACAUUUUUUUAUCAGAUUUUGUGCCUUGCUAAUUAAGAUGAGUAUCACCAUCAAAUCAACAAGCUUAUACCUUCAAAGAAAAAUAGACUAUAAGUCGGGAGAAAGAAGAAGAAAAAAAAAAAGAAGCUUCGCAAUUUAUGCUGUUGGUUGUGAGUUCAUGAAACAAAUAAAAAUAUGAAAUCAAACAUUUAUUCAAAAUUUAAAAUUAAAAAAAAAACUCUAUAUCUACAGUAAUCUGUUCAAACCACAUAGGUGGAGCAAUAUAGUUCCAAGACGUGGUUUUAAAACAUGUCUUUGUGAUAAACAAUAUCGUGAUACUUGCGCCAAUUCCCAUGGCAAUAAUUGCCUACAUUUAUCCAAGAUCCAUGGCCAGGUUUAGAAUGUGCUAGUCUUCUUUCACUUUCAUAAAUAACCACUACUAGGUAAUCAGAGUGUCGGUCUAAAUUUUUCGGAGAUACAACGUCAAUGUAUGUGCCCGGAGUUGAAGCUGAACGCGCUUAAAUAUGUUCGGAAUUUGAAGUUGAACGCCUGGAAAAGGAUGCAGACUGAAGAAAGGCAAUUCCUGGAAUUUGUCUUUGGUAAGAAAACAUGGCUGCUUAUGCCCUUUGAAAGACUGAAGAAACCAAAUUGAUUAUUGCUGCAAUUUAGUGGCACAUGUACGAGGAGAGGCAUCCAAUUAAACUUGUUCAUAAAAGUAUUGCUGAUAGUUGCAGCCGAUCUCCAGACAAAAUCUUCGUACAAUUUUAUCCGCCAGCAAUUUCGACCAAGAGACCUUGAUGCAGUUCAGACCAAUUCGCCAGUUGAACAUCAAGUUGCCUAGGCAUUGAGAAUUAGGUCAAUAAAAUAUAUCCUGGGUCACUUACAAAAGAUGAAAUAAGUGAAAAAGGAAAGAUGACGUAAUAAUUUCUUAGUGAGAAAAGUUAGUUAAUUUUCAAUUGCUUUCAUUGUUUUGAUAAUUUUCAAAACAUUUCAUUGCUUUCAUUGCGUAAUUAAGCUUUUUUUGCUUCAAAAUAUUUCAAAUUGUGUUUGUGGGACUACUAAACAAUUAGGACACAACAAUGUUUCGUUCUGGUCUUUUUUUUUUUUUACUUUUUAAUUUAUUUUAAGAAAAUCUUUGUCCAUCUCUCAUCCUGCCAAAUAUAUCGUCUCGUCUUGUUAUCUAGAAUAAUUCUUCAUGCAUCAAUGAGUUUUGACAAAUUUUUAUCUUUUAAAAGUUGUUGUAAUUCAAUAUAGCUAAAAUCUUAAAUACAUACAUGUAGAAUAAUCUAAGCAUUACCUUAUUCGGGGAAAAUCGAGAUUAGAAUCAAUCAAAGCAAUGAUACCUUAUAUCAGUGAGAUAUAUGCAAGACUCACCCAUUGGUACAAACGAAAAUGAUCAAAGUGGAAGCAAAAAUGGAAUCCUCAAAUGUGGUGAUAAUUUAGAUGAUCUCCACUCUCCAUUUGGUUUCAUCUAAUAAGUUAGUGUUUAAUUAAGAAUUUAUUACUCAUUUUAUUAUGAUAUUAAUCAACUGCCGUCCCUUCCAUUAGUUCAUUAUUUUUGAUGGAUUACGAAAGACAGACAAUAAAAUUCUCCAAAACUGUUGUAAGAGUAAUAUUGUAAAAGUUACAUAAAAGUGAGGAUAAGGAUAAUUUGAGGUAUGUUUCAAGAUAUAAAGAUUAAAUAAAUUCUUAACUCAAAAUAAAGAGAUUUAUUUUUUUUAAAAGAGAUUAAAAUGUCAUGAUAAAUAAAUAAGGGAGGUGAUAUUCUGGGCUCUCCCCUGGCUUUUUGUGAUAACAUCUUAAAUUAAUAUAAAUAGUUAAAAUUUUAUUAAAAAAUAAAUUUUUACCUAAUACUCUUUGACAUAGCUAGGAAUAUAGCCUACUUGCAAGAGACUUACAUUCGUUUGCACAGCCCUUUCGUGAAUAUAAAAUUGCUGCCGAAUAAGCAUCUAAUUAAAAGAAUUAGGAAUUUGUCAACGGUAUAAAUUAAAUAUAAAAAACGAGUAAAAGAAUUUGUCAAUGGGAUAUGGGGGGCUAUGGCUUCAAUCGUAGGGGUGGGCAAAUUUCGGAUUCCGAAUCCGAUCGGAUUUUGGAUAAUUCGGAUUGGGAAAAAAUCCAUCCAAAUUCAAUCCGAACCUUAAAUCUGUUUCGAUCCGAGAUAAUUUCGGAUCCGGAUCAGAUUCGGAUGAGUUUGAAUUUCAGAUUAUAUUUCAAGUUCGGAUUAUAUUUUGGAUUCGGAUUAAUUCGGGUUUGGGACCUUUUUACAAUUCUCACAAAAAAAUUAUGAAAUUUAUAAUUAAUGAAAAAUAAUUUCCAUGAUGCUGUCAACAAUAAUUAAUAUUUUGAAAACGCAAUAACGGAAUUUUCAAAAAAAAGAAAAAGAAAACACAGGAACGGUAUUGAUAAAGAAUUUUCAUUAGCCAUUUGUGACUGCUAACUAAAUUGUAACAACUAAGUAAAAUAUAAUAAUAAUAAUAAUACAUGCGGGUAUAUUCAAAGCAACUAAAUCACUUGCGAAUGAUCAAGACAAAUCGUAUAAACAAGUAAAAAAUUCAAAGUUUCAAACGCAAAUCGUCGGGGGCUAUCGGAUUAGUGGAUUACCAUUAACAAGACGAGGUUUAUGUCGGUGUGAGUUGCUCAUUGUGGGUCUGGAUGAUGUCGCGAUGGCUGGGUUUGUGCCAACUAUGAUCCAGCUAGGUUUGUAUCGAAUCUGAUCUCGUCUAGAGGACGUUGUGGCGGCUGGGUUUGUGUCGAAUUCAUUCGGUUUGUCUCGUCGGCGACAUGGUUGUUGGUUGGCUCGUCAGGUUGUGGCCCGUGGGUGUGGUGUGGUUUGUUGUCGUGGAUUGACUUAUCAAAGGGCGUGCGACGAUGGUGUGUGGUUUUGUCAUUUGGAAAUUGAGUUUUGAUUUUUCAUUUUCGUUUUUUUAAAAAAAAAUUUUUGGAUUAUUCGGAUUGAACUGAAUCUUAUCCGAUCCAAAUCAAAUCCGAUCAGAUUACAAAAAUUUCAUCCGAUUGGAUUUUAAAGCAAAUCCAAAUCCGAUCCGAACAAAUUCGGAUCGAAUUGGAUUAGAUCGGAUCUAUCCGAAUCUGAUCCAAUGUCCACCCCUAUUCAAUCGGUUUCUGCAAUGGUUAAUGGCAUAUUUUUGCUCAUCGUCACCACUGCAUUCACUAAUCAUUUGUGCACGUGAAUUGUUUUUGAGCAUUUAUUUUGCCUUCGUUAAAAUUGGGCAUGUAAAAAUUUCAUGAAAAAUGGCCAAAGUGGCUGGCUAGGUGAUAUAAUGGAUGGUUACAACUCAAACCUAGCAAUAAAUGAAUGUCCGACAAGCAUUCAAAUGAAUGUAUAAAACCAAUGAGAUUAGAAUAUCUAUUUAUAAUAGACUAAUUAAAAUACGAUUCAAAUAUAAGGUAAAUAGUCUCUCUAUUAAUUUUUUAUUGUUUCAGGUAGGGUUGUCGAGCCUUUGUCCGGGCUUCUGUAAGCCCAUUUCCAGCCCUCUUAUAUGAUUGGAUUAGAUCAGGCUCGGCCCACCAGGCCGGGCUAAAUCUUGAGCUCUUUUUAAAUAAAAAAAAGUUGAAUUUUAAGUUUUUGAAGUUAAUAUAUAUACACACACACUUGUACUUAAAUAAUUUAUAAAUUUUUUAAAAGCCAAAUAAUAAAAAUAUUGACAUGUAAAAGUACAAUUUUUUUUUCAUGUGGAAUAAUUAUCUCAUUUCUACCUUUUUGGUCCUAUAGAUAUUUCCUCAUUUCAUCUUUGGUAUUAGAGCAGUAGUAAAAAGACACACGAUUAAAGAUAAAUGUGACAUUUUUACCGACAAAUUAACUAUUUGGAUCUAAGAUCUAGCUCUAAUGGUAAAGACUAGUUUUUAUAGAAUUCAGGUCCUGGGUUUGACUUCCAAUUGCGUGGGUAAGCUAAUAAUAAUAAUAAUAAUAAUAACAAAUUAACUAGUUUUAAUUUGCAAAGGUCUUAGAUAAUCAAUUCGUUUGUAAAAACAUCAAAUUUAUUUUCAGUAAUGAAAUUUUCAAGUCACUGGUUUUAGCACUAGGAAUGAAUUAAAUAGAGUAAUGAUAAACAUCUUAAAAUUUUAUCCCAAAUGAUAUGACAUGUAAUGUGUCAUUUAUUAAGUGGUUGGUGAUUUUUCAUAAAUUUUAAGUCGAUUAAUUAUAUUAUUUCACCAACCAAUAAAUGAACAUCACAUCAUUUGAGAAUGAAUUUUAAGGUAAAAUUUUAGAUAUAUAUCAUUACUCAAUUAUUUUUUAUAGUAUAAAAUCUAAUAGGGACCAAAAAUAUAAAAACCAAUUAAGAAAAAAAAAGUCAAUUCCUAAUUAGAAGAAUGAAAGUGUCAUUCUCCUAUAAUCAUUUCUCAAGUUUUUAUAUAAAUUUAUUAAUGCAAAAUUUUAAAAGAAAAUCGGUACCUAAAACUAACGCCUUUGACAAUGCUGCCAAUAUCACUCACAACUUACAAGAAUAAAGAAUUUGUAUUAAAUUUAUUAAUGUUCUCAAAGAAUUUUUAGUUUUGACUUUACAUUCUCAGACCCAUUUGUCACAUAACAUCUUAGCUGAUUAACAAAGCCCUUUCGUGAGAAUAUUAAAACUGCUCUCGAAUAAGCAUCUUAACAACCCCGUUUUUGACAUACAUGCAUGCCUCCUCAUGUCAGCAAAUUUGAAACAUAAAAGAUAAUUUCAAUCGAUGUGAGAGUUGGGAGUAUUUUAUAGCUUUUGACCUCAUUAAUUAUGAGUAAGAGAAUAUUUCUACGUCACUAAUGAUUAAAAUGAUCACUAUAUAUAUAAAGGGUAGCAAAGUAUGUUUAACAUCAAGUCAGAAAACACAAUUUUUAGGAAAUGGGAACUCGGGGACAGGCGAGGCAAUGGCCUCAAUUGUUUUGUGCUAUAGCAUUUUUGCUUAUAGCCACCACGACCAAGGCAUCGGCUGAUGAUUAUGCCUCAGCACCACCACCAAAGUAUUCUUCUCCACCUCUUUACUACUACAAAUCACCACCUCCUCCUUCUCCCUCUCCACCUCCACCAUAUUAUUACAAGUCUCCCCCACCACCAUCUCCGUCUCCUCCACCACCUUACUACUACACGUCACCACCGCCACCAGUGCAUUCUCCCCCGCCACCUUACUACUACAAGUCACCACCGCCACCAGUGCAUUCUCCUCCGCCACCUUACUACUACAAAUCUCCGCCGCCACCAAAGCAUUCUCCCCCGCCACCUUACUACUAUAAGUCACCACCACCACCAGUGCAUUCUCCCCCGCCACCUUAUUACUACAAAUCUCCGCCGCCACCAAAGUAUUCUCCCCCGCCACCUUAUUAUUACAAAUCUCCGCCGCCACCAAAGCAUUCUCCUCCACCACCUUACUACUACAAAUCUCCACCACCACCAAACCAUUCUCCCCCACCACCUUACUACUAUAAGUCACCACCACCACCAAAGCAUUCUCCCCCACCUCCUUAUUACUACAAAUCUCCACCACCACCAAUGUAUUCUCCACCACCACCUUACUAAUACAAAUCUCCGCCAUCGCCAUCUCUAUCCCCGCCUCCAUCUUACAUUUAUAAAUUCCCACAACCAUCAUCUAUACCACCUCCACCAUGACCUCUAUCACGGUCAUUAUUGCUUCCUUACUACUCCAAGUCACCGCCAACUCCUUUAUCUCCACCUUCACCGUAUUACUACAAUCACCCCCACCUCCCAAAGACUACUACGUUCAGUAUCCCUUCUUGAAACAAGUUUAAAAUUCAAUAAGAAUAAAUUUGUUCCUUUGGUUGCCUUUUUUUUUAAUUUUUUACUAAGUUCAAUGCCCCUUCUUGAAACAAGUUUCAAAUUCAAUAAGAAUAAAUUUGUUCCUUUGGUUGCCUUUUUAUGCUUUUUUGUGUCAAUUUUUUUACAAAUAAUUUGUAAGAAGCGUUCAGUGCAUCAUUUGUCAUGUGCAAUAAAAAUCUUCUAACUUAAUGUAUCCCCAAAAAAAAAAAAAAAAAUUGUUCUAUAAGAAUUAUUCUAUUGUUUUAUCACAAAUGUGUUGUGGCGCAUAUAAUGCUCCCGGAUGAAGUAAUAUUAUGUCUUGAUGAACAAUCAUGCACAACAAUGAUCAUGUACAUAGUUCUUCCAACGUCAUGAUAAUGUCCAUGCACAUAAUAACAAACUUCUUCCUCAUAAUAUCAAAGAAAAUGAAGAUACAAGCCUCUUAUUCUUUAGUCAUUCACUCAAACAACAUUGUUUUAACUUAGGUUUUGAUCAAUCUUAAUGCUAAUAAAUGCUAACUACAUAUCAAAUACAAGAUCAACAAAAACCAGAUUUUAAAUUAAUCAGAAAAACAAACACUAGACUUAACCAAGCAGUUAAGCUUUAUUAUUCUCCCUCAGUAAAGGAUACAAAGAUGUAGGUGGAUUACAAGCUAUCACUGAAAAAAUAGAAAUCAUCUAAAAUGGUGAACAAAUGAGCUCUAAAUCUGUUGCACUCAUUUGUUCAACUAAGCAAUGAAAUUACCCUUUUCUAUUUUAACUGCUUGUCUACUUUAACACGGCAACUUUAAAUAACAACCUUCAACUUGAAAAAUUUGAGUAACCAGAGCCAUCAAUAACGGUAAAUCUUGACAAAAAUUUUAGUUUAAUUAAGGCCAUAAACAUAAUAUUAAAUAAUAAAAAAAAAAGGCCAUAAACAUAGUGUUGAAAUACCAUUAUACCUGUGAACGAACUUUUGAUGGUUAUUAAACUCAUGAACCCUCAAUUUUUGUAUUAUGAAUAUGCUCAUGGCCUAUCUUAGGUCUCCUCUAUGAACCACUUUUUUUUUAAAAAAAUUAUAUUCAUUAUGAUACUAAGGUAUAAGUAGAAGUAAAGUUCUUUUAAUAUUUUUGUAACCAGGAUGUGACAACCUAGGUGAUACGUGAAUUGGUUAUUUGCACAUUUUGCUACAUUUUUGUGAGUUUGCUUGCUGGUUUUCUCUUUGUUCCAACAAUUCACACAUAGGAUAAUCUCAUUUUAACAAAGAAAGAUACCACUAAAAUACAACAAAACAUGAUCAAUUCUAAUAUACUAGAAAACUUUUUUUUUUUGUUUGCCUUUUCAUAUAUUAGAGUUGUGUUUUUGUUAUCUUAUAGUGGCAUCUAUGCAGUUUAACUAAAUGAGAAUAUUCUCAUUUGAGAAUUAUUAAUAAGAGAGUAGUAGACAAAUGAUACCCAACUAUACUGCUUCACUAUUAACAACACAUCCAAUUGAGUAAUGAUAGAGAGUCAAUUCUAUCACCAAAUGAAAGCAAACAAAAGCUGAAAUAUUUUAGUGAAUAUCUUUAAAGUUUGAAUUAAUAAUAAAAUUGUCCCAAAAAACUGUCUUAAUGGAACUAAUGUGCGAUUUAUUUGUAGGGUGAAUAAAUAUCAUUUUCCAGAAAAAAAUAUAGUCAAAAUAUGGAAAGCUUGUUCUGCAAGUGGUUGAUAUUGAUGUACAUUAAUGUCAAAGAUACAUUAAGUGCAUGCCAAAUUCUAUUAUAAAAUUUAUAAAUGUAUAAGUAGAAGAUUUUAUAAAUUAAUUCCUGUAAAACGUCGGUUAUAUGAAUAAAUGGUGAAGAGAAAGCUGUAAUAAUUAUCGUAAUUACAAUUUUCUUGAGCACGCUUUGACGUACGAUUAACAAAAAAGGUCUGUAUAUGAGCAAUCGGCCGUACAUUAUCUUAACCACCUGAUUUUGUUUUUUUUUUUUGUAAUUUCAAUCUUGGCCGUUGGAGUCAAUGAAAAGAUCGUUCAAAUGGUAGAGAUUUGUCUAUUUGAUUAUUAACAUUAUGCUUCCCGAUGGUUAUCAAAAACCCAAACAAAUUAAAGAGUUAAAACUUUUAGCACAUAAGUCCGAAUUGUUUCAAAUUUAUGUUGUUUAAUCACUAGUGAGUCUCAAAAAAUAAAUUUAUUUUAAUAUUAUAUAUUUUAUUUAAAAGAAUUAAUUUUUUAUAUCAUUUAUUUUAUUAAAAAUAAAUAUUAUUGAAUACUAAUUAUUCUCAUUUUAUUUAAUAUUAUUUAGUUAUAGGCUUAUUAUUAUAUUUAAUUGUUCAAAAAACUAAAAAAAUUUAAAUAAAAUAAAGUAAUUGAUGGUUGUCGAAGCCAACAAAAAUAAAUUCCUACUCUAAAUAAAUUGUGUAUAGUGAUUGAGCAGGGUCGUGUCCACAGAGAUCGGUAAUUAUUUAAAUCCUUUUGAAACGUAAAACGUAAAAUGGGGGAAUUGUUGACAAUAAUAAAAAUCAAAUUAAAAUAACAAGAAUGCAAAUUAAAGUUGUAAUUCAAAUUGGAGAAAGCUCUGGUUGAAGGAAUUAACUCAGCUUGAUUCGACUACUGAUCAUUGAUUCAAAUAUAGAUUAUUAUUACUCAUGAAUAGACCGGUUAUAGCUACUGAGACCCUCUAAUAGCCAAUCUCUCCUUAACUAGUCGAUAACCAAGGUACGACCGUUGGAUAUUCCCUAAUCAAUAGACAACCCUAGAUACGAUCAUAGAAUUUAAUCAAUUGACAGCCUGAAAAACCAGAAAGACCCAAAUCCUAAUCAACACAUAUGAUGAUUCAUUUAAAUUAAAUUGUUUAUUCUCACAACACAACUCUCUGCUAUGUCAUUUGUCACAAACAUUAAAUUCUUCAUACGAUGAAUCCCUUAAUUGACAAUAGAUUAAGUUGAUAAUUAAAUAGUGGCCAACUGCUGUACGGCCAAGGCGGAUGUACGGUACAGCAGAAUACAUUCCCUUACUCAACUAACAAAGUCUUUCAUUUAUCUGAAAACAGUUCCAAUUUUGAAAUAUCAGUGUCAAACUUUUCCCAGCAACAUAUUUAUCAUCUCUCCACAUUAUCCUUAACUGACAGCAGCUUGGAAGAUCUUCAAUCAGCAAGUUCAGAAAGCAAUGAACAAGUACCUUCUGUUUCUGCACACACAAAUAAUCUGCAUCAACAAGAGCAUUCUNNNNNNNNNNNNNNNNNNNNNNNNNNNNNNNNNNNNNNNNNNNNNNNNNNNNNNNNNNNNNNNNNNNNNNNNNNNNNNNNNNNNNNNNNNNNNNNNNNNNNNNNNNNNNNNNNNNNNNNNNNNNNNNNNNNNNNNNNNNNNNNNNNNNNNNNNNNNNNNNNNNNNNNNNNNNNNNNNNNNNNNNNNNNNNNNNNNNNNNNNNNNNNNNNNNNNNNNNNNNNNNNNNNNNNNNNNNNNNNNNNNNNCAGCAGAAUAAAAUAUUAUUAAUUUUAUUUUUUUUAUUUUGCUAUCUUACUAAUAAUUGGCAAUAAUAAUAAUAAUAAUAAUAAUAAUAAUAAUAUCUUUAAGGUUAAUGAUUUUAUUUUCUAAUUAAUAUGGAUAAUUUUAGAUUUUUAUAAUAUAUAUGACGAUAAACACGAAAUUAAGUAUAAAACUAAUUCUCAAAAUCCGAUUUUAAAAAUCUACUUUUUCCCUACUUUUUAAAAUCUUCAGUAAGAUAAGGUAAAUUUACCAAAAGUGAUUUCUGAAAAUAUUUAUCAAAUAAUAAAAUUAAUUUGUAACUUUUCAAAAUAACUUUUAAAUCUCGCAAAAAAAAAUCCUAAAUGAGUCCUAAGUACCUAACUUUAUGACGGUCAACAAAUAUGGUAUAAAAGUCUUCUACACCUACUGGGCAUUUGAAUGGGCCAUCUGUCUUAGCUCUUACCUCUUAAAAUGGGCUAAAAAUCAGAGAGUCAGUUAACUAAUAUGGGCUAAAAUUUGGGUACACCUCUCGGGCAUGUUAAUGGGCCAUCAUCUUUCACAGGUUUCUAAAGGGUAAAGGCUUUCUGUCUCCCAAGACUUCGACUAGUGAAAUUUAAUCGAUAUAAAUAUGUAGCUACCUAUAUUUAUAUAAGAAAAUGAUGUUCUCAUAAAUUUGCGUGCAAAGAUUUGCACAAAACGGUGCGUUUUGUGCAGCUUUAAAAAUGCUCUUCGUACGUGCACCAAACAACACACAAGCACGCCAAUUCACAACAUCAUUUUCCCACUCGCGUCUGCCUCCUUUCACUGCAACAAAAACCCAGCAGCUUCGUUCUCCACACAGCAAGAAGUCUCCUUAUUAAUAUAAUAUUAUAUAAUAAACUCAACAGAAGUCUCCUUUCUUCCUCCAUUUUUCCUCACGAGAUAGCUCCGAUCUCUCUCCCUCCGUCCUCCUUUCUUCCUUACAAGACAGCUCGGGUCUCUCUCUCUGGCCUCCUUUCUCCCUCACAAGAUAGUUCGGAUCUCUCUUUCCAGUCUCCACGCCGCUAAUAGUCCCAGUUCUAACCUCUCUCGCCCCGCAGCAACCAUAAGAUCUCUCUCUCACCCGUUUCAAUUCAUUGCUCUAAUUGAAAUCUUUAACUCGUUUAGGACAUUGUGCUGAAUUACCUAUGGAUGGUGGUGGUCUUAUGCUUGAGUGUUGUAAAUUAGAAUCAAAUUAUGCAAAACCUGAUGCCUUUGGGAAUCAUGUUUAUUUCAAGCUUCUAUGUUGUGAUUUGAUUAUUUGAUGAAGCACCUGGAAAAUGUAGUUUGCUCCCUCAAAUUAUUUUACUCUGUUGAAUAAAUUGUAUUUGCCAUUAUUUGAAAAGAAUUUAAAAAAAAAUUACAGCCCCGAAACAUUGAGCUUAUGCUAUAAUUUAAGCAUCUCCCUCAUUUAUAGCACAUUUAUUUUCAUAAUUUACGCGACAAUGGAGAACGGAGCCGAGACUGUUAGUGGCAUGGGGAUGAGAGAGAAAAAUAUGAGCUGUUUCGUGAGGUUUUGUUAGGUUUCGUGAGGGAGAAAGGAGAUGGGAGAGAGAGACGCUGAGUUUUGUUGCUCCCCUCACUUGUGUGUGUUUGGUGUUAAAACUUUGCAGCAAAGAGUGGCUUUUAUACUUUGCACAAAACGCACCGUUUUGUGCAAAGUUUUGUGCAAAGUGUUGUGAGAACAUCAUUUUCCAUUUAAAUAUUGGCUUUUCAUUUUUUUUCAAAUGAGAAUUGAUCCAGUGUGCACCAUCAUGCACAGCACAAGGUAUAUUUUCAUCAGUGGGCGCUAGGUCUCAUAGAUUGGUUCUCUCUAAUAAGAACAUGUCGUCUGUUGUCCCGCGCUAGAUCGAAUGCGUUUUCAAAUUUGUCAAAUUACAUUUUGAGCAUGUCAUAGUGGACGUUAUUACAAAGUCGUCAAUCUCAAUACAAUAAUCAUGACAUCAGGUUUUGAGAAUGUGAAUAAAACUCAUAUUUAUUUGAUAAAAUAUAAUUUAAAAAUAAAAAUAAAAUAUGUAUAUUCUAUAUAAUUUGAUAAUAAAAAAUAGAAAUCUCAUUUUUAUAUUGGGUUGGGAAUGAGGAUUCCUAUUUCUUGAACUGACUUUUAUAUCUCUCUAUUUUUUUCAUAUUUUUUAAAUUAUUCUCGUUUAAAUCACAAUUAAUUUGAUUACUGCUGUACGGCCAAGGCGGAUGCAAUAGAAUUGCACCUACAAAAGUAAAACAUAAGUAAAUCACUAUUAUUAAGUGCAAAACAUUGAUAUUAAGGGAAGUAAAUAAUGCAAAACUAGUGCAUAAAUUGCACUCUAACAGUAAUCAGUAAUCAGCAUUAAAAAUUAAAUUAAAUUAAAUUUUUUUGUUUUUAAUAUUAUUUAGUUAUAGACUUAUUAUUAUAUUUAUUCGUUCAUAAAACUAAAUAAUGUUAAAUCAAAUAAAAUAAUCAGGAAUGGUUCUUAAAAAAUUAAUAUUAUUUAUUUUAUUUUAUUUAAUAUUAUUUAGUCAUAGCCUAUUAUUCUGUUUAUUUUUUGAAAAUUAAAUAAUAUUAAAUAAAAAUCCCCCCUUUUCACAAUAGAUUCCUCCCUUCAAUACUCUCUCUCUCCUCUCUUUUAGAAUUCUAUUUAAAAUAAAAUACUAAUAUCUGAAAUAUUAAAUUCGUAAUUACAAAAAUAACCAAAAAUACAAAAUACGUUAAACUAAAAACUGCAGGUCCGCAGUUGACAGCACGCGCCCACGCCUUAUCAACAAAGUUCUUCUGACGCUCAUAAUUUCUCCAAGAGAACAAUCAUCCUUAAACAUCAUCUUAUAGCUCAAUUUUAUCAUCAAUCAAUAGAAUUACACCUACAAAAGUAAAACACAAGUAAAACAUUAUUAUUAAGUGCAAAACAUCGAUAUUAAGGGAAGUAAACAAUGCAAAACUAGUGCAUAAAUUGCACUCUAACAAAUUCCCCCACACCAAGAUGAUGCUUGUCCUCAAGCAUAUAACUCAAGACUAAUCUCAAAUCUCCACUAAAUUCUCAUCUCAACUCAUCCAAAAAUAAUUUUAAGCAAGCAUACCUCAAGAAAUUAAGUCGAUCAACAUUCGAGAGACAAGGAUUUUUAAAGCAUAGAAUCUCAUAAGAUAGAAUAAGAACAUUCAACCACCAAGAAGAUCCAUUCAAAAUUCAAGUGCAACAAGAUGUAAUAGCCCUCUCAAUAACUUCACUCCAUGCACUCAAAGUGUUUAGGGUAUCAUUUAUGCACUCAAAUCAAAUCAAAGAAUGCUAUUACCAUAAGCUUGCUCAUAUAUCACAUCUCAAUCCACAAAACAUGAAUAAAAUGAAAAAAUCUAAGGGUCUUAAAAGGGUUGUAAUGGGGUUAAAUAGGUUAAAUGAAAAAGAAAGGUCUAUGAAAGAAAAAGAGAUCAAAAUGAGAAGAAUGAACUCAUUGAAUGAACUUAUGAUAUCAAAAUGCUCCUUGGCCGUACAGCAGGAAUGGUUCUUAAAAAAUUAAUAUUAUUUAUUUUAUUUUAUUUAAUAUUAUUUAGUCAUAGCCUAUUAUUCUGUUUAUUUUUUGAAAAUUAAAUAAUAUUAAAUAAAAUAGAAUAGAAAAUGUGAGUCCUUAAAAAUAAAAAUUAUUUUUAAUAUUAUUUAUUUUAUUUAAAAGAAUAAAUUUUUUAAUAUUUUUAUUUUAUUAAAAAAUAUUAUUUAAUAUUAUCUAGUCAUAGGCUUAUUAUUAUAUUUCUUCUUUUAGAAAGUUAAAUAGUAUUAAAUGAAAUAAAAUUACAUUUUAGAAGGUCAUUAGCCAAAGCACAUAAACUUAUAAACAAAUGGAAAUAAAAAAGGUAAAUAAUAUUCAAUAAAAUAAAAUUACAUUUUAAAAGGUCACCAACCAAAGCACAUAAUAUUAUAACAAAAAUGUAAAUAAAAAAGAAAGUAAGAGAUUCAAUGAAAUUUAACAUCACAAAAGACAAUUUCAAAAAUUGGGGGUAGCUUGCAACUGUUGCAAAGUGGCUGGUUCCAUAAUUUUGAGAUAAUGUUUCGGUUUCAAAUAUUGUUAUCGAUACCUAAUUAUAAGUAAUAAAAAAAUAUUGUAUAAUUUUUUUACCAACAUUUACAAUACAUUUUAUUUUGAUUUCUGAAAAAAAUAGAUAAAACACAAAUUAAUUAUUUUAACCCUCUAUUCUCUCAAUAUUUAAACUCGAAUAAUCAGUUAAAAGUUGCUCGAGAAUGUUUAAAAGCCAUUUAAGUAUACCACGUCAUUCAUGUUUUGCAAUCAUUCAAUUGUUAAUAAGUUUCCCAUGUGCUGAAAAUAAAUAAAAAUGCACGUGCAUAUGUCAUAUUGUCUCCGAAACCUCACAGCGGAAUGAGUGUAGUACUUGCAAUGCAUGUACUUUAGACUUUGUAUUUCUCUUAUUUAAAUGAUCAAUAAUUUUUCUUUGUCCUUUAAUUAGACGUCAACAGUCGAAGUUGUGGGCAAGUAGUAGGCUAUAUAUAAUAAUUUCCUGGAGAUCUUCCGUCUUCUAAGACAUUGCAAAUGCCAAACGUGAUAACUAUUUUGAUAAUUCAAAUACUACAUAAAAUAUAUGAAGUGUCAGACAAGUCAAAAGAAUUGAUUCUUCACAAUUGUAUAUACGUAUACACACACUUUGCCCAAAUCCCAUUGUAUCCAGGCUGUAAUUUUUAUAUUAAACGAACAUAUUUUAUUUUAUGUCAGCAAUAUUGAUGCAGGCUGGUGGAACAACAGCUUCAGGAUGGUCAACUACCCUUCGGAUCAUUGCAAGUGGGAUGGCAUCACUUGCAAUUCAGAUGGAACCAUAAUCGGGCUAAAAUUAUCAGGGUAUGAUGUUGACUUCAAAAGGUAGUCUUCGUAAAAUUAUCAUGGUAUAAUAUACGUAUUUAUUUUCGCAUACAUAAAUAAAUAACAAAAUUGUAAUUAAUUGGAUACAACUUCAGCUUUUGGACUGGUUUGUGAAAAUCGGAAAAAUUUAAAAAUGCUCCUCUUGAACAAUCAAAAUCUACUUUAUACGUGAACAAAGGGGAUGAUUCGUAAAGAUAAUUCAUCAAUGUUUGAUUACUUUCAGAAAGAUAGACUUCAUUUGAUCUCGUCCCAAAGCAUAAUUUCACUUUGAAUUUGAAAAAGAAUAAUGAAGUUCAUACGAUGCUGUUGUGACCUUUUUUUUUUGUUUUCUUUUUUUCUCGACGUUGUUUUGUGAAUCAUAAGGGUUAAUUUAGUACGGUGGGUUCGCUUGUAUGAAGCGUACUUAUUGUACCAUUCUGUUGCAAGUAAUGAAAAAACGCUAUAAUUUUUUUUAGGUUUCUACAAGUAUUAUGUUAUCUUAUAUCUAACUGUGCAUCUCUAUUCUUUGCUCUCAGUUCAGGUUCUCUAAAAGUAUAUUAAUUAUGAAAAGCAUUAAAGGUUCCGAAACUCUAUUUUGCGGGGAAAAAGAACCUCCAUUUUUGGUUUUUUAUUAUCAUAAGAGGUUUUACUAUGCUCGUAAUAACUUAAUCGAAAUUAAACAUAUCACUGGUCUACAUUUUUUUAUCAGAUUUUGUGCCUUGCUAAUUAAGAUGAGUAUCACCAUCAAAUCAACAAGCUUAUACCUUCAAAGAAAAAUAGACUAUAAGUCGGGAGAAAGAAGAAGAAAAAAAAAAAGAAGCUUCGCAAUUUAUGCUGUUGGUUGUGAGUUCAUGAAACAAAUAAAAAUAUGAAAUCAAACAUUUAUCCAAAAUUUAAAAUUAAAAAAAAACUCUAUAUCUACAGUAAUCUGUUCAAACCACAUAGGUGGAGCAAUAGAGUUCCAAGACGUGGUUUUAAAACAUGUCUUUGUGAUAAACAAUAUCGUGAUACUUGCGCCAAUUCCCAUGCCAAUAAUUGCCUACAUUUAUCCAAGAUCCAUGGCCAGGUUUAGAAUGUGCUAGUCUUCUUUCACUUUCAUAAAUAACCACUACUAGGUAAUCAGAGUGUCGGUCUAAAUUUUUCGGAGAUACAACGUCAAUGUAUGUGCCCGGAGUUGAAGCUGAACGCGCUUAAAUAUGUUCGGAAUUUGAAGUUGAACGCCUGGAAAAGGAUGCAGACUGAAGAAAGGCAAUUCCUGGAAUUUGUCUUUGGUAAGAAAACAUGGCUGCUUAUGCCCUUUGAAAGACUGAAGAAACCAAAUUGAUUAUUGCUGCAAUUUAGUGGCACGUGUACAAGGAGAGGCAUCCGAUUAAACUUGUUCAUAAAAUUAUUGCUGAUAGUUGCAGCCGAUCUCCAUGAAGUACAAACCCAACGCAAAGAAACAAAGUGUUCGUACAAUUUUAUCCGCCAGCAAUUUCGACCAAGAGACCUUGAUGCAGUUCAGACCAAUUCGCCAGUUGAACAUCAAGUUGCCUAGGCAUUGAGAAUUAGGUCAAUAAAAUAUAUCCUGGGUCACUUACAAAAGAUGAAAUAAGUGAAAAAGGAAAGAUGACGUAAUAAUUUCUUAGUGAGAAAAGUUAGUUAAUUUUCAAUUGCUUUCAUUGUUUUGAUAAUUUUCAAAACAUUUCAUUGCUUUCAUUGCGUAAUUAAGCUUUUUUUGCUUCAAAAUAUUUCAAAUUGUGUUUGUGGGACUACUAAACAAUUAGGACACAACAAUGUUUCGUUCUGGUCUUUUUUUUUUUUUACUUUUUAAUUUAUUUUAAGAAAAUCUUUGUCCAUCUCUCAUCCUGCCAAAUAUAUCGUCUCGUCUUGUUAUCUAGAAUAAUUCUUCAUGCAUCAAUGAGUUUUGACAAAUUUUUAUCUUUUAAAAGUUGUUGUAAUUCAAUAUAGCUAAAAUCUUAAAUACAUACAUGUAGAAUAAUCUAAGCAUUACCUUAUUCGGGGAAAAUCGAGAUUAGAAUCAAUCAAAGCAAUGAUACCUUAUAUCAGUGAGAUAUAUGCAAGACUCACCCAUUGGUACAAACGAAAAUGAUCAAAGUGGAAGCAAAAAUGGAAUCCUCAAAUGUGGUGAUAAUUUAGAUGAUCUCCACUCUCCAUUUGGUUUCAUCUAAUAAGUUAGUGUUUAAUUAAGAAUUUAUUACUCAUUUUAUUAUGAUAUUAAUCAACUGCCGUCCCUUCCAUUAGUUCAUUAUUUUUGAUGGAUUACGAAAGACAGACAAUAAAAUUCUCCAAAACUGUUGUAAGAGUAAUAUUGUAAAAGUUACAUAAAAGUGAGGAUAAGGAUAAUUUGAGGUAUGUUUCAAGAUAUAAAGAUUAAAUAAAUUCUUAACUCAAAAUAAAGAGAUUUAUUUUUUUUAAAAGAGAUUAAAAUGUCAUGAUAAAUAAAUAAGGGAGGUGAUAUUCUGGGCUCUCCCCUGGCUUUUUGUGAUAACAUCUUAAAUUAAUAUAAAUAGUUAAAAUUUUAUUAAAAAAUAAAUUUUUACCUAAUACUCUUUGACAUAGCUAGGAAUAUAGCCUACUUGCAAGAGACUUACAUUCGUUUGCACAGCCCUUUCGUGAAUAUAAAAUUGCUGCCGAAUAAGCAUCUAAUUAAAAGAAUUAGGAAUUUGUCAACGGUAUAAAUUAAAUAUAAAAAACGAGUAAAAGAAUUUGUCAAUGGGAUAUGGGGGGCUAUGGCUUCAAUCGUAGGGGUGGGCAAAUUUCGGAUUCCGAAUCCGAUCGGAUUUUGGAUAAUUCGGAUUGGGAAAAAAUCCAUCCAAAUUCAAUCCGAACCUUAAAUCUGUUUCGAUCCGAGAUAAUUUCGGAUCCGGAUCAGAUUCGGAUGAGUUUGAAUUUCAGAUUAUAUUUCAAGUUCGGAUUAUAUUUUGGAUUCGGAUUAAUUCGGGUUUGGGACCUUUUUACAAUUCUCACAAAAAAAUUAUGAAAUUUAUAAUUAAUGAAAAAUAAUUUCCAUGAUGCUGUCAACAAUAAUUAAUAUUUUGAAAACGCAAUAACGGAAUUUUCAAAAAAAAGAAAAAGAAAACACAGGAACGGUAUUGAUAAAGAAUUUUCAUUAGCCAUUUGUGACUGCUAACUAAAUUGUAACAACUAAGUAAAAUAUAAUAAUAAUAAUAAUACAUGCGGGUAUAUUCAAAGCAACUAAAUCACUUGCGAAUGAUCAAGACAAAUCGUAUAAACAAGUAAAAAAUUCAAAGUUUCAAACGCAAAUCGUCGGGGGCUAUCGGAUUAGUGGAUUACCAUUAACAAGACGAGGUUUAUGUCGGUGUGAGUUGCUCAUUGUGGGUCUGGAUGAUGUCGCGAUGGCUGGGUUUGUGCCAACUAUGAUCCAGCUAGGUUUGUAUCGAAUCUGAUCUCGUCUAGAGGACGUUGUGGCGGCUGGGUUUGUGUCGAAUUCAUUCGGUUUGUCUCGUCGGCGACAUGGUUGUUGGUUGGCUCGUCAGGUUGUGGCCCGUGGGUGUGGUGUGGUUUGUUGUCGUGGAUUGACUUAUCAAAGGGCGUGCGACGAUGGUGUGUGGUUUUGUCAUUUGGAAAUUGAGUUUUGAUUUUUCAUUUUCGUUUUUUUAAAAAAAAAUUUUUGGAUUAUUCGGAUUGAACUGAAUCUUAUCCGAUCCAAAUCAAAUCCGAUCAGAUUACAAAAAUUUCAUCCGAUUGGAUUUUAAAGCAAAUCCAAAUCCGAUCCGAACAAAUUCGGAUCGAAUUGGAUUAGAUCGGAUCUAUCCGAAUCUGAUCCAAUGUCCACCCCUAUUCAAUCGGUUUCUGCAAUGGUUAAUGGCAUAUUUUUGCUCAUCGUCACCACUGAAUCCACUGAUCAUUUGUGCAUGUGAGUUGUUUUUGAGCAUUUAUUUUUCCCUUUAGAAGCAUAAGGAUAAGGCUAGUCUUCUUUUUGGGAGGACUUAUUGCUUCCAUUCGUUAAAAUUGGGCAUGUAAAAUGUCAAGAAAAAAUGGCCUAAGUGGCUAGCUAGAUGAUAUAAUGGAUGGUUACUACUCAAACCUAGCAAUAAAUGAAUGUCCGACAAGCAUUCAAAUGAAUGAAUAAAACCAAUCAGAUUAGAAUAUCUAUUUAUGAUAGAUUAAUGAAAAUACGAUUCAAAUAUAAGGUAAAUAAUCUCUCCAUUAAUUUUUUAUUGUUUCAGGCAGGGUUGCCAAGCCUCUGUCCGGGCUUCUAUAAGCUCAAUUCCAGCUCUCCUAUAUGAUUGAAUUAGAUCGGGCUAGGCCCUCGGACUUUUUAAUUAAAAAAGGUCGAUUUUUAAGUUUAUGAAGUUAAUACACUCACGCUUAUACUUUAAUAUUUUUAUUAUUUGGCUUUUAGAAUAUUAACGUGUAAAUUACUUUUUUUUUUCAAGUGAAAUAAUUAUCACAUUUUGUCUUCUUAGUAUAUAUUUCUACCUUUUUGUUCCUAUAGAUAUUUCCUCAUUUCAUCUUUGGUACUAGAGCGUAGUAAAAAAACACAUGAUUAAAGAUAAAUAUGACAUUUUAACUAACAAAUUAAUUAUUUGUAUCUAAGAUCUAGCUCUAGUGGUAAAGAUCAAUUUUCAUCGAAUUCAAGUCUUGGGUUUGAAUUUAAAUGCAUGGGUAAGUUAAUAAUAAUAAUAAUAAUAAUAAUAAUAAUAAUAAUAAUAAUAAUAAUAAUAAUAAUAAUAAUAAUAAUAAUAAUAAUAAUAAUAAUAAUAAUAAUAAUAAUAAUAAUAAUAAUAAUAAUAAUAAUAAUAAUAAUAAUAAUAAUAAUAAUAAUAAUAAUAAUAAUAAUAAUAAUAAUAAUAAUAAUAAUAAUAAUAAUAAUAAUAAUAAUAAUAAUAAUAAUAAUAAUAAUAAUAAUAAUAAUAAUAAUAAUAAUAAUAAUAAUAAUAAUAAUAAUAAUAAUAAUAAUAAUAAUAAUAAUAAUAAUAAUAAUAAUAAUAAUAAUAAUAAUAAUAAUAAUAAUAAUAAUAAUAAUAAUAAUAAUAAUAAUAAUAAUAAUAAUAAUAAUAAUAAUAAUAAUAAUAAUAAUAAUAAUAAUAAUAAUAAUAAUAAUAAUAAUAAUAAUAAUAAUAAUAAUAAUAAUAAUAAUAAUAAUAAUAAUAAUAAUAAUAAUAAUAAUAAUAAUAAUAAUAAUAAUAAUAAUAAUAAUAAUAAUAAUAAUAAUAAUAAUAAUAAUAAUAAUAAUAAUAAUAAUAAUAAUAAUAAUAAUAAUAAUAAUAAUAAUAAUAAUAAUAAUAAUAAUAAUAAUAAUAAUAAUAAUAAUAAUAAUAAUAAUAAUAAUAAUAAUAAUAAUAAUAAUAAUAAUAAUAAUAAUAAUAAUAAUAAUAAUAAUAAUAAUAAUAAUAAUAAUAAUAAUAAUAAUAAUAAUAAUAAUAAUAAUAAUAAUAAUAAUAAUAAUAAUAAUAAUAAUAAUAAUAAUAAUAAUAAUAAUAAUAAUAAUAAUAAUAAUAAUAAUAAUAAUAAUAAUAAUAAUAAUAAUAAUAAUAAUAAUAAUAAUAAUAAUAAUAAUAAUAAUAAUAAUAAUAAUAAUAAUAAUAAUAAUAAUAAUAAUAAUAAUAAUAAUAAUAAUAAUAAUAAUAAUAAUAAUAAUAAUAAUAAUAAUAAUAAUAAUAAUAAUAAUAAUAAUAAUAAUAAUAAUAAUAAUAAUAAUAAUAAUAAUAAUAAUAAUAAUAAUAAUAAUAAUAAUAAUAAUAAUAAUAAUAAUAAUAAUAAUAAUAAUAAUAAUAAUAAUAAUAAUAAUAAUAAUAAUAAUAAUAAUAAUAAUAAUAAUAAUAAUAAUAAUAAUAAUAAUAAUAAUAAUAAUAAUAAUAAUAAUAAUAAUAAUAAUAAUAAUAAUAAUAAUAAUAAUAAUAAUAAUAAUAAUAAUAAUAAUAAUAAUAAUAAUAAUAAUAAUAAUAAUAAUAAUAAUAAUAAUAAUAAUAAUAAUAAUAAUAAUAAUAAUAAUAAUAAUAAUAAUAAUAAUAAUAAUAAUAAUAAUAAUAAUAAUAAUAAUAAUAAUAAUAAUAAUAAUAAUAAUAAUAAUAAUAAUAAUAAUAAUAAUAAUAAUAAUAAUAAUAAUAAUAAUAAUAAUAAUAAUAAUAAUAAUAAUAAUAAUAAUAAUAAUAAUAAUAAUAAUAAUAAUAAUAAUAAUAAUAAUAAUAAUAAUAAUAAUAAUAAUAAUAAUAAUAAUAAUAAUAAUAAUAAUAAUAAUAAUAAUAAUAAUAAUAAUAAUAAUAAUAAUAAUAAUAAUAAUAAUAAUAAUAAUAAUAAUAAUAAUAAUAAUAAUAAUAAUAAUAAUAAUAAUAAUAAUAAUAAUAAUAAUAAUAAUAAUAAUAAUAAUAAUAAUAAUAAUAAUAAUAAUAAUAAUAAUAAUAAUAAUAAUAAUAAUAAUAAUAAUAAUAAUAAUAAUAAUAAUAAUAAUAAUAAUAAUAAUAAUAAUAAUAAUAAUAAUAAUAAUAAUAAUAAUAAUAAUAAUAAUAAUAAUAAUAAUAAUAAUAAUAAUAAUAAUAAUAAUAAUAAUAAUAAUAAUAAUAAUAAUAAUAAUAAUAAUAAUAAUAAUAAUAAUAAUAAUAAUAAUAAUAAUAAUAAUAAUAAUAAUAAUAAUAAUAAUAAUAAUAAUAAUAAUAAUAAUAAUAAUAAUAAUAAUAAUAAUAAUAAUAAUAAUAAUAAUAAUAAUAAUAAUAAUAAUAAUAAUAAUAAUAAUAAUAAUAAUAAUAAUAAUAAUAAUAAUAAUAAUAAUAAUAAUAAUAAUAAUAAUAAUAAUAAUAAUAAUAAUAAUAAUAAUAAUAAUAAUAAUAAUAAUAAUAAUAAUAAUAAUAAUAAUAAUAAUAAUAAUAAUAAUAAUAAUAAUAAUAAUAAUAAUAAUAAUAAUAAUAAUAAUAAUAAUAAUAAUAAUAAUAAUAAUAAUAAUAAUAAUAAUAAUAAUAAUAAUAAUAAUAAUAAUAAUAAUAAUAAUAAUAAUAAUAAUAAUAAUAAUAAUAAUAAUAAUAAUAAUAAUAAUAAUAAUAAUAAUAAUAAUAAUAAUAAUAAUAAUAAUAAUAAUAAUAAUAAUAAUAAUAAUAAUAAUAAUAAUAAUAAUAAUAAUAAUAAUAAUAAUAAUAAUAAUAAUAAUAAUAAUAAUAAUAAUAAUAAUAAUAAUAAUAAUAAUAAUAAUAAUAAUAAUAAUAAUAAUAAUAAUAAUAAUAAUAAUAAUAAUAAUAAUAAUAAUAAUAAUAAUAAUAAUAAUAAUAAUAAUAAUAAUAAUAAUAAUAAUAAUAAUAAUAAUAAUAAUAAUAAUAAUAAUAAUAAUAAUAAUAAUAAUAAUAAUAAUAAUAAUAAUAAUAAUAAUAAUAAUAAUAAUAAUAAUAAUAAUAAUAAUAAUAAUAAUAAUAAUAAUAAUAAUAAUAAUAAUAAUAAUAAUAAUAAUAAUAAUAAUAAUAAUAAUAAUAAUAAUAAUAAUAAUAAUAAUAAUAAUAAUAAUAAUAAUAAUAAUAAUAAUAAUAAUAAUAAUAAUAAUAAUAAUAAUAAUAAUAAUAAUAAUAAUAAUAAUAAUAAUAAUAAUAAUAAUAAUAAUAAUAAUAAUAAUAAUAAUAAUAAUAAUAAUAAUAAUAAUAAUAAUAAUAAUAAUAAUAAUAAUAAUAAUAAUAAUAAUAAUAAUAAUAAUAAUAAUAAUAAUAAUAAUAAUAAUAAUAAUAAUAAUAAUAAUAAUAAUAAUAAUAAUAAUAAUAAUAAUAAUAAUAAUAAUAAUAAUAAUAAUAAUAAUAAUAAUAAUAAUAAUAAUAAUAAUAAUAAUAAUAAUAAUAAUAAUAAUAAUAAUAAUAAUAAUAAUAAUAAUAAUAAUAAUAAUAAUAAUAAUAAUAAUAAUAAUAAUAAUAAUAAUAAUAAUAAUAAUAAUAAUAAUAAUAAUAAUAAUAAUAAUAAUAAUAAUAAUAAUAAUAAUAAUAAUAAUAAUAAUAAUAAUAAUAAUAAUAAUAAUAAUAAUAAUAAUAAUAAUAAUAAUAAUAAUAAUAAUAAUAAUAAUAAUAAUAAUAAUAAUAAUAAUAAUAAUAAUAAUAAUAAUAAUAAUAAUAAUAAUAAUAAUAAUAAUAAUAAUAAUAAUAAUAAUAAUAAUAAUAAUAAUAAUAAUAAUAAUAAUAAUAAUAAUAAUAAUAAUAAUAAUAAUAAUAAUAAUAAUAAUAAUAAUAAUAAUAAUAAUAAUAAUAAUAAUAAUAAUAAUAAUAAUAAUAAUAAUAAUAAUAAUAAUAAUAAUAAUAAUAAUAAUAAUAAUAAUAAUAAUAAUAAUAAUAAUAAUAAUAAUAAUAAUAAUAAUAAUAAUAAUAAUAAUAAUAAUAAUAAUAAUAAUAAUAAUAAUAAUAAUAAUAAUAAUAAUAAUAAUAAUAAUAAUAAUAAUAAUAAUAAUAAUAAUAAUAAUAAUAAUAAUAAUAAUAAUAAUAAUAAUAAUAAUAAUAAUAAUAAUAAUAAUAAUAAUAAUAAUAAUAAUAAUAAUAAUAAUAAUAAUAAUAAUAAUAAUAAUAAUAAUAAUAAUAAUAAUAAUAAUAAUAAUAAUAAUAAUAAUAAUAAUAAUAAUAAUAAUAAUAAUAAUAAUAAUAAUAAUAAUAAUAAUAAUAAUAAUAAUAAUAAUAAUAAUAAUAAUAAUAAUAAUAAUAAUAAUAAUAAUAAUAAUAAUAAUAAUAAUAAUAAUAAUAAUAAUAAUAAUAAUAAUAAUAAUAAUAAUAAUAAUAAUAAUAAUAAUAAUAAUAAUAAUAAUAAUAAUAAUAAUAAUAAUAAUAAUAAUAAUAAUAAUAAUAAUAAUAAUAAUAAUAAUAAUAAUAAUAAUAAUAAUAAUAAUAAUAAUAAUAAUAAUAAUAAUAAUAAUAAUAAUAAUAAUAAUAAUAAUAAUAAUAAUAAUAAUAAUAAUAAUAAUAAUAAUAAUAAUAAUAAUAAUAAUAAUAAUAAUAAUAAUAAUAAUAAUAAUAAUAAUAAUAAUAAUAAUAAUAAUAAUAAUAAUAAUAAUAAUAAUAAUAAUAAUAAUAAUAAUAAUAAUAAUAAUAAUAAUAAUAAUAAUAAUAAUAAUAAUAAUAAUAAUAAUAAUAAUAAUAAUAAUAAUAAUAAUAAUAAUAAUAAUAAUAAUAAUAAUAAUAAUAAUAAUAAUAAUAAUAAUAAUAAUAAUAAUAAUAAUAAUAAUAAUAAUAAUAAUAAUAAUAAUAAUAAUAAUAAUAAUAAUAAUAAUAAUAAUAAUAAUAAUAAUAAUAAUAAUAAUAAUAAUAAUAAUAAUAAUAAUAAUAAUAAUAAUAAUAAUAAUAAUAAUAAUAAUAAUAAUAAUAAUAAUAAUAAUAAUAAUAAUAAUAAUAAUAAUAAUAAUAAUAAUAAUAAUAAUAAUAAUAAUAAUAAUAAUAAUAAUAAUAAUAAUAAUAAUAAUAAUAAUAAUAAUAAUAAUAAUAAUAAUAAUAAUAAUAAUAAUAAUAAUAAUAAUAAUAAUAAUAAUAAUAAUAAUAAUAAUAAUAAUAAUAAUAAUAAUAAUAAUAAUAAUAAUAAUAAUAAUAAUAAUAAUAAUAAUAAUAAUAAUAAUAAUAAUAAUAAUAAUAAUAAUAAUAAUAAUAAUAAUAAUAAUAAUAAUAAUAAUAAUAAUAAUAAUAAUAAUAAUAAUAAUAAUAAUAAUAAUAAUAAUAAUAAUAAUAAUAAUAAUAAUAAUAAUAAUAAUAAUAAUAAUAAUAAUAAUAAUAAUAAUAAUAAUAAUAAUAAUAAUAAUAAUAAUAAUAAUAAUAAUAAUAAUAAUAAUAAUAAUAAUAAUAAUAAUAAUAAUAAUAAUAAUAAUAAUAAUAAUAAUAAUAAUAAUAAUAAUAAUAAUAAUAAUAAUAAUAAUAAUAAUAAUAAUAAUAAUAAUAAUAAUAAUAAUAAUAAUAAUAAUAAUAAUAAUAAUAAUAAUAAUAAUAAUAAUAAUAAUAAUAAUAAUAAUAAUAAUAAUAAUAAUAAUAAUAAUAAUAAUAAUAAUAAUAAUAAUAAUAAUAAUAAUAAUAAUAAUAAUAAUAAUAAUAAUAAUAAUAAUAAUAAUAAUAAUAAUAAUAAUAAUAAUAAUAAUAAUAAUAAUAAUAAUAAUAAUAAUAAUAAUAAUAAUAAUAAUAAUAAUAAUAAUAAUAAUAAUAAUAAUAAUAAUAAUAAUAAUAAUAAUAAUAAUAAUAAUAAUAAUAAUAAUAAUAAUAAUAAUAAUAAUAAUAAUAAUAAUAAUAAUAAUAAUAAUAAUAAUAAUAAUAAUAAUAAUAAUAAUAAUAAUAAUAAUAAUAAUAAUAAUAAUAAUAAUAAUAAUAAUAAUAAUAAUAAUAAUAAUAAUAAUAAUAAUAAUAAUAAUAAUAAUAAUAAUAAUAAUAAUAAUAAUAAUAAUAAUAAUAAUAAUAAUAAUAAUAAUAAUAAUAAUAAUAAUAAUAAUAAUAAUAAUAAUAAUAAUAAUAAUAAUAAUAAUAAUAAUAAUAAUAAUAAUAAUAAUAAUAAUAAUAAUAAUAAUAAUAAUAAUAAUAAUAAUAAUAAUAAUAAUAAUAAUAAUAAUAAUAAUAAUAAUAAUAAUAAUAAUAAUAAUAAUAAUAAUAAUAAUAAUAAUAAUAAUAAUAAUAAUAAUAAUAAUAAUAAUAAUAAUAAUAAUAAUAAUAAUAAUAAUAAUAAUAAUAAUAAUAAUAAUAAUAAUAAUAAUAAUAAUAAUAAUAAUAAUAAUAAUAAUAAUAAUAAUAAUAAUAAUAAUAAUAAUAAUAAUAAUAAUAAUAAUAAUAAUAAUAAUAAUAAUAAUAAUAAUAAUAAUAAUAAUAAUAAUAAUAAUAAUAAUAAUAAUAAUAAUAAUAAUAAUAAUAAUAAUAAUAAUAAUAAUAAUAAUAAUAAUAAUAAUAAUAAUAAUAAUAAUAAUAAUAAUAAUAAUAAUAAUAAUAAUAAUAAUAAUAAUAAUAAUAAUAAUAAUAAUAAUAAUAAUAAUAAUAAUAAUAAUAAUAAUAAUAAUAAUAAUAAUAAUAAUAAUAAUAAUAAUAAUAAUAAUAAUAAUAAUAAUAAUAAUAAUAAUAAUAAUAAUAAUAAUAAUAAUAAUAAUAAUAAUAAUAAUAAUAAUAAUAAUAAUAAUAAUAAUAAUAAUAAUAAUAAUAAUAAUAAUAAUAAUAAUAAUAAUAAUAAUAAUAAUAAUAAUAAUAAUAAUAAUAAUAAUAAUAAUAAUAAUAAUAAUAAUAAUAAUAAUAAUAAUAAUAAUAAUAAUAAUAAUAAUAAUAAUAAUAAUAAUAAUAAUAAUAAUAAUAAUAAUAAUAAUAAUAAUAAUAAUAAUAAUAAUAAUAAUAAUAAUAAUAAUAAUAAUAAUAAUAAUAAUAAUAAUAAUAAUAAUAAUAAUAAUAAUAAUAAUAAUAAUAAUAAUAAUAAUAAUAAUAAUAAUAAUAAUAAUAAUAAUAAUAAUAAUAAUAAUAAUAAUAAUAAUAAUAAUAAUAAUAAUAAUAAUAAUAAUAAUAAUAAUAAUAAUAAUAAUAAUAAUAAUAAUAAUAAUAAUAAUAAUAAUAAUAAUAAUAAUAAUAAUAAUAAUAAUAAUAAUAAUAAUAAUAAUAAUAAUAAUAAUAAUAAUAAUAAUAAUAAUAAUAAUAAUAAUAAUAAUAAUAAUAAUAAUAAUAAUAAUAAUAAUAAUAAUAAUAAUAAUAAUAAUAAUAAUAAUAAUAAUAAUAAUAAUAAUAAUAAUAAUAAUAAUAAUAAUAAUAAUAAUAAUAAUAAUAAUAAUAAUAAUAAUAAUAAUAAUAAUAAUAAUAAUAAUAAUAAUAAUAAUAAUAAUAAUAAUAAUAAUAAUAAUAAUAAUAAUAAUAAUAAUAAUAAUAAUAAUAAUAAUAAUAAUAAUAAUAAUAAUAAUAAUAAUAAUAAUAAUAAUAAUAAUAAUAAUAAUAAUAAUAAUAAUAAUAAUAAUAAUAAUAAUAAUAAUAAUAAUAAUAAUAAUAAUAAUAAUAAUAAUAAUAAUAAUAAUAAUAAUAAUAAUAAUAAUAAUAAUAAUAAUAAUAAUAAUAAUAAUAAUAAUAAUAAUAAUAAUAAUAAUAAUAAUAAUAAUAAUAAUAAUAAUAAUAAUAAUAAUAAUAAUAAUAAUAAUAAUAAUAAUAAUAAUAAUAAUAAUAAUAAUAAUAAUAAUAAUAAUAAUAAUAAUAAUAAUAAUAAUAAUAAUAAUAAUAAUAAUAAUAAUAAUAAUAAUAAUAAUAAUAAUAAUAAUAAUAAUAAUAAUAAUAAUAAUAAUAAUAAUAAUAAUAAUAAUAAUAAUAAUAAUAAUAAUAAUAAUAAUAAUAAUAAUAAUAAUAAUAAUAAUAAUAAUAAUAAUAAUAAUAAUAAUAAUAAUAAUAAUAAUAAUAAUAAUAAUAAUAAUAAUAAUAAUAAUAAUAAUAAUAAUAAUAAUAAUAAUAAUAAUAAUAAUAAUAAUAAUAAUAAUAAUAAUAAUAAUAAUAAUAAUAAUAAUAAUAAUAAUAAUAAUAAUAAUAAUAAUAAUAAUAAUAAUAAUAAUAAUAAUAAUAAUAAUAAUAAUAAUAAUAAUAAUAAUAAUAAUAAUAAUAAUAAUAAUAAUAAUAAUAAUAAUAAUAAUAAUAAUAAUAAUAAUAAUAAUAAUAAUAAUAAUAAUAAUAAUAAUAAUAAUAAUAAUAAUAAUAAUAAUAAUAAUAAUAAUAAUAAUAAUAAUAAUAAUAAUAAUAAUAAUAAUAAUAAUAAUAAUAAUAAUAAUAAUAAUAAUAAUAAUAAUAAUAAUAAUAAUAAUAAUAAUAAUAAUAAUAAUAAUAAUAAUAAUAAUAAUAAUAAUAAUAAUAAUAAUAAUAAUAAUAAUAAUAAUAAUAAUAAUAAUAAUAAUAAUAAUAAUAAUAAUAAUAAUAAUAAUAAUAAUAAUAAUAAUAAUAAUAAUAAUAAUAAUAAUAAUAAUAAUAAUAAUAAUAAUAAUAAUAAUAAUAAUAAUAAUAAUAAUAAUAAUAAUAAUAAUAAUAAUAAUAAUAAUAAUAAUAAUAAUAAUAAUAAUAAUAAUAAUAAUAAUAAUAAUAAUAAUAAUAAUAAUAAUAAUAAUAAUAAUAAUAAUAAUAAUAAUAAUAAUAAUAAUAAUAAUAAUAAUAAUAAUAAUAAUAAUAAUAAUAAUAAUAAUAAUAAUAAUAAUAAUAAUAAUAAUAAUAAUAAUAAUAAUAAUAAUAAUAAUAAUAAUAAUAAUAAUAAUAAUAAUAAUAAUAAUAAUAAUAAUAAUAAUAAUAAUAAUAAUAAUAAUAAUAAUAAUAAUAAUAAUAAUAAUAAUAAUAAUAAUAAUAAUAAUAAUAAUAAUAAUAAUAAUAAUAAUAAUAAUAAUAAUAAUAAUAAUAAUAAUAAUAAUAAUAAUAAUAAUAAUAAUAAUAAUAAUAAUAAUAAUAAUAAUAAUAAUAAUAAUAAUAAUAAUAAUAAUAAUAAUAAUAAUAAUAAUAAUAAUAAUAAUAAUAAUAAUAAUAAUAAUAAUAAUAAUAAUAAUAAUAAUAAUAAUAAUAAUAAUAAUAAUAAUAAUAAUAAUAAUAAUAAUAAUAAUAAUAAUAAUAAUAAUAAUAAUAAUAAUAAUAAUAAUAAUAAUAAUAAUAAUAAUAAUAAUAAUAAUAAUAAUAAUAAUAAUAAUAAUAAUAAUAAUAAUAAUAAUAAUAAUAAUAAUAAUAAUAAUAAUAAUAAUAAUAAUAAUAAUAAUAAUAAUAAUAAUAAUAAUAAUAAUAAUAAUAAUAAUAAUAAUAAUAAUAAUAAUAAUAAUAAUAAUAAUAAUAAUAAUAAUAAUAAUAAUAAUAAUAAUAAUAAUAAUAAUAAUAAUAAUAAUAAUAAUAAUAAUAAUAAUAAUAAUAAUAAUAAUAAUAAUAAUAAUAAUAAUAAUAAUAAUAAUAAUAAUAAUAAUAAUAAUAAUAAUAAUAAUAAUAAUAAUAAUAAUAAUAAUAAUAAUAAUAAUAAUAAUAAUAAUAAUAAUAAUAAUAAUAAUAAUAAUAAUAAUAAUAAUAAUAAUAAUAAUAAUAAUAAUAAUAAUAAUAAUAAUAAUAAUAAUAAUAAUAAUAAUAAUAAUAAUAAUAAUAAUAAUAAUAAUAAUAAUAAUAAUAAUAAUAAUAAUAAUAAUAAUAAUAAUAAUAAUAAUAAUAAUAAUAAUAAUAAUAAUAAUAAUAAUAAUAAUAAUAAUAAUAAUAAUAAUAAUAAUAAUAAUAAUAAUAAUAAUAAUAAUAAUAAUAAUAAUAAUAAUAAUAAUAAUAAUAAUAAUAAUAAUAAUAAUAAUAAUAAUAAUAAUAAUAAUAAUAAUAAUAAUAAUAAUAAUAAUAAUAAUAAUAAUAAUAAUAAUAAUAAUAAUAAUAAUAAUAAUAAUAAUAAUAAUAAUAAUAAUAAUAAUAAUAAUAAUAAUAAUAAUAAUAAUAAUAAUAAUAAUAAUAAUAAUAAUAAUAAUAAUAAUAAUAAUAAUAAUAAUAAUAAUAAUAAUAAUAAUAAUAAUAAUAAUAAUAAUAAUAAUAAUAAUAAUAAUAAUAAUAAUAAUAAUAAUAAUAAUAAUAAUAAUAAUAAUAAUAAUAAUAAUAAUAAUAAUAAUAAUAAUAAUAAUAAUAAUAAUAAUAAUAAUAAUAAUAAUAAUAAUAAUAAUAAUAAUAAUAAUAAUAAUAAUAAUAAUAAUAAUAAUAAUAAUAAUAAUAAUAAUAAUAAUAAUAAUAAUAAUAAUAAUAAUAAUAAUAAUAAUAAUAAUAAUAAUAAUAAUAAUAAUAAUAAUAAUAAUAAUAAUAAUAAUAAUAAUAAUAAUAAUAAUAAUAAUAAUAAUAAUAAUAAUAAUAAUAAUAAUAAUAAUAAUAAUAAUAAUAAUAAUAAUAAUAAUAAUAAUAAUAAUAAUAAUAAUAAUAAUAAUAAUAAUAAUAAUAAUAAUAAUAAUAAUAAUAAUAAUAAUAAUAAUAAUAAUAAUAAUAAUAAUAAUAAUAAUAAUAAUAAUAAUAAUAAUAAUAAUAAUAAUAAUAAUAAUAAUAAUAAUAAUAAUAAUAAUAAUAAUAAUAAUAAUAAUAAUAAUAAUAAUAAUAAUAAUAAUAAUAAUAAUAAUAAUAAUAAUAAUAAUAAUAAUAAUAAUAAUAAUAAUAAUAAUAAUAAUAAUAAUAAUAAUAAUAAUAAUAAUAAUAAUAAUAAUAAUAAUAAUAAUAAUAAUAAUAAUAAUAAUAAUAAUAAUAAUAAUAAUAAUAAUAAUAAUAAUAAUAAUAAUAAUAAUAAUAAUAAUAAUAAUAAUAAUAAUAAUAAUAAUAAUAAUAAUAAUAAUAAUAAUAAUAAUAAUAAUAAUAAUAAUAAUAAUAAUAAUAAUAAUAAUAAUAAUAAUAAUAAUAAUAAUAAUAAUAAUAAUAAUAAUAAUAAUAAUAAUAAUAAUAAUAAUAAUAAUAAUAAUAAUAAUAAUAAUAAUAAUAAUAAUAAUAAUAAUAAUAAUAAUAAUAAUAAUAAUAAUAAUAAUAAUAAUAAUAAUAAUAAUAAUAAUAAUAAUAAUAAUAAUAAUAAUAAUAAUAAUAAUAAUAAUAAUAAUAAUAAUAAUAAUAAUAAUAAUAAUAAUAAUAAUAAUAAUAAUAAUAAUAAUAAUAAUAAUAAUAAUAAUAAUAAUAAUAAUAAUAAUAAUAAUAAUAAUAAUAAUAAUAAUAAUAAUAAUAAUAAUAAUAAUAAUAAUAAUAAUAAUAAUAAUAAUAAUAAUAAUAAUAAUAAUAAUAAUAAUAAUAAUAAUAAUAAUAAUAAUAAUAAUAAUAAUAAUAAUAAUAAUAAUAAUAAUAAUAAUAAUAAUAAUAAUAAUAAUAAUAAUAAUAAUAAUAAUAAUAAUAAUAAUAAUAAUAAUAAUAAUAAUAAUAAUAAUAAUAAUAAUAAUAAUAAUAAUAAUAAUAAUAAUAAUAAUAAUAAUAAUAAUAAUAAUAAUAAUAAUAAUAAUAAUAAUAAUAAUAAUAAUAAUAAUAAUAAUAAUAAUAAUAAUAAUAAUAAUAAUAAUAAUAAUAAUAAUAAUAAUAAUAAUAAUAAUAAUAAUAAUAAUAAUAAUAAUAAUAAUAAUAAUAAUAAUAAUAAUAAUAAUAAUAAUAAUAAUAAUAAUAAUAAUAAUAAUAAUAAUAAUAAUAAUAAUAAUAAUAAUAAUAAUAAUAAUAAUAAUAAUAAUAAUAAUAAUAAUAAUAAUAAUAAUAAUAAUAAUAAUAAUAAUAAUAAUAAUAAUAAUAAUAAUAAUAAUAAUAAUAAUAAUAAUAAUAAUAAUAAUAAUAAUAAUAAUAAUAAUAAUAAUAAUAAUAAUAAUAAUAAUAAUAAUAAUAAUAAUAAUAAUAAUAAUAAUAAUAAUAAUAAUAAUAAUAAUAAUAAUAAUAAUAAUAAUAAUAAUAAUAAUAAUAAUAAUAAUAAUAAUAAUAAUAAUAAUAAUAAUAAUAAUAAUAAUAAUAAUAAUAAUAAUAAUAAUAAUAAUAAUAAUAAUAAUAAUAAUAAUAAUAAUAAUAAUAAUAAUAAUAAUAAUAAUAAUAAUAAUAAUAAUAAUAAUAAUAAUAAUAAUAAUAAUAAUAAUAAUAAUAAUAAUAAUAAUAAUAAUAAUAAUAAUAAUAAUAAUAAUAAUAAUAAUAAUAAUAAUAAUAAUAAUAAUAAUAAUAAUAAUAAUAAUAAUAAUAAUAAUAAUAAUAAUAAUAAUAAUAAUAAUAAUAAUAAUAAUAAUAAUAAUAAUAAUAAUAAUAAUAAUAAUAAUAAUAAUAAUAAUAAUAAUAAUAAUAAUAAUAAUAAUAAUAAUAAUAAUAAUAAUAAUAAUAAUAAUAAUAAUAAUAAUAAUAAUAAUAAUAAUAAUAAUAAUAAUAAUAAUAAUAAUAAUAAUAAUAAUAAUAAUAAUAAUAAUAAUAAUAAUAAUAAUAAUAAUAAUAAUAAUAAUAAUAAUAAUAAUAAUAAUAAUAAUAAUAAUAAUAAUAAUAAUAAUAAUAAUAAUAAUAAUAAUAAUAAUAAUAAUAAUAAUAAUAAUAAUAAUAAUAAUAAUAAUAAUAAUAAUAAUAAUAAUAAUAAUAAUAAUAAUAAUAAUAAUAAUAAUAAUAAUAAUAAUAAUAAUAAUAAUAAUAAUAAUAAUAAUAAUAGAGAAGAGAAAAAUUAGAUCUAGGGUUUCUUUCUUUUUCUCCAAUCCAAAAAUCCCCCCUUUUCACAAUAGAUUCCUCCCUUAAAUACUCUCUCUCUCUUCUCCUCUAGAAUUCUAUUUAAAAUAAAAUACUAACAUCUGAAAUAUUAAAUUCGUAAUUACAAAAAUAACCAAAAAUACAAAACACGUUAAACUAAAAACUGCAGGUCCGCAGUUGACAGCACGCGCCCACGCCUUAUCAACAAAGUUCUUCUGACGCUCAUAAUUUCUCCAAGAGAACAAUCAUCCUUAAACAUCAUCUUAUAGCUCAAUUUUAUCAUCAAUCAAUAGAAUUGCACCUACAAAAGUAAAACAUAAGUAAAUCACUAUUAUUAAGUGCAAAACAUUGAUAUUAAGGGAAGUAAAUAAUGCAAAACUAGUGCAUAAAUUGCACUCUAACAGUAAUCAGUAAUCAGCAUUAAAAAUUAAAUUAAAUUAAAUUUUUUUGUUUUUAAUAUUAUUUAGUUAUAGACUUAUUAUUAUAUUUAUUCGUUCAUAAAACUAAAUAAUGUUAAAUCAAAUAAAAUAAUCAGGAAUGGUUCUUAAAAAAUUAAUAUUAUUUAUUUUAUUUUAUUUAAUAUUAUUUAGUCAUAGCCUAUUAUUCUGUUUAUUUUUUGAAAAUUAAAUAAUAUUAAAUAAAAUAGAAUAGAAAAUGUGAGUCCUUAAAAAUAAAAAUUAUUUUUAAUAUUAUUUAUUUUAUUUAAAAGAAUAAAUUUUUUAAUAUUUUUAUUUUAUUAAAAAAUAUUAUUUAAUAUUAUCUAGUCAUAGGCUUAUUAUUAUAUUUCUUCUUUUAGAAAGUUAAAUAGUAUUAAAUGAAAUAAAAUUACAUUUUAGAAGGUCAUUAGCCAAAGCACAUAAACUUAUAAACAAAUGGAAAUAAAAAAGGUAAAUAAUAUUCAAUAAAAUAAAAUUACAUUUUAAAAGGUCACCAACCAAAGCACAUAAUAUUAUAACAAAAAUGUAAAUAAAAAAGAAAGUAAGAGAUUCAAUGAAAUUUAACAUCACAAAAGACAAUUUCAAAAAUUGGGGGUAGCUUGCAACUGUUGCAAAGUGGCUGGUUCCAUAAUUUUGAGAUAAUGUUUCGGUUUCAAAUAUUGUUAUCGAUACCUAAUUAUAAGUAAUAAAAAAAUAUUGUAUAAUUUUUUUACCAACAUUUACAAUACAUUUUAUUUUGAUUUCUGAAAAAAAUAGAUAAAACACAAAUUAAUUAUUUUAACCCUCUAUUCUCUCAAUAUUUAAACUCGAAUAAUCAGUUAAAAGUUGCUCGAGAAUGUUUAAAAGCCAUUUAAGUAUACCACGUCAUUCAUGUUUUGCAAUCAUUCAAUUGUUAAUAAGUUUCCCAUGUGCUGAAAAUAAAUAAAAAUGCACGUGCAUAUGUCAUAUUGUCUCCGAAACCUCACAGCGGAAUGAGUGUAGUACUUGCAAUGCAUGUACUUUAGACUUUGUAUUUCUCUUAUUUAAAUGAUCAAUAAUUUUUCUUUGUCCUUUAAUUAGACGUCAACAGUCGAAGUUGUGGGCAGGUAGUAGGCUAUAUAUAAUAAUUUCCUGGAGAUCUUCCGUCUUCUAAGACAUUGCAAAUGCCAAACGUGAUAACUAUUUUGAUAAUUCAAAUACUACAUAAAAUAUAUGAAGUGUCAGACAAGUCAAAAGAAUUGAUUCUUCACAAUUGUAUAUACGUAUACACACACUUUGCCCAAAUCCCAUUGUAUCCAGGCUGUAAUUUUUAUAUUAAACGAACAUAUUUUAUUUUAUGUCAGCAAUAUUGAUGCAGGCUGGGGGAACAACAGCUUCAGGAUGGUCAACUACCCUUCGGAUCAUUGCAAGUGGGAUGGCAUCACUUGCAAUUCAGAUGGAAGCAUAAUCAGGCUAAAAUUAUCAUGGUGUGAUGUUGACUUCAAAAGGUAAUCUUCGUAAAAUUAUCAUGGUAUAAUAUACGUAUUUAUUUUCGCAUACAUAAAUAAAUAACAAAAUUGUAAUUAAUUGGAUACAGCUUCAGCUUUUGGACUGGUUUGUGAAAAUCAGAAAAAUUUAAAAAUGCUCCUCUUGAACAAUCAAAAUCUACUUUAUACGUGAACAAAGGGGAUGAUUCGUAAAGAUAGUUCAUCAAUGUUUGAUUGCUUUCAAGCGUGUCGAUUACUUUCAGAAAGAAAGACUUCAUUUGAUCUCGUCACAAAACAUAAUUUCACUUUGAAUUUGAAAAAGAAUAAUGAAGUUCAUACAAGUGCUGUUAUGACCUUUUUUUUUUUGUUUUCUUUUUUUCUCGACGUUGUUUUGUGAAUCAUAAGGGUUAAUUUAAUACGGUGGGUUCGCUUGUAUGAAGCGCACUUAUUGUACCAUUCUGUUGCAAGCAAUGAAAAAACGCUAUAAUUUUUUUAAGUUUCUACAAGUAUUAUGUUAUCUUAUAUCUAAAUGUGCAUCUCUAGUCUUUGCUCUCAGUUCAGGUUCUCUAAAAGUAUAUUAAUUAUGAAAAGCAUUAAAGGUUCCGAAACUCUAUUUUGCGGGGAAAAAGAACCUCCAUUUUUGGUUUUUUAUUAUAUGAGAUUUUACUAUGCUCGUAAUAACUUAAUCGAAAUUAAACAUAUCACUGGUCUACAUUUUUUUAUAAGAUUUUGUGACUUGCUAAUUAAGAUGAGUAUCACCAUCAAAUCAACAAGCUUAUACCUUCAAAGAAAAAUAGACUAUAAGUCGGGAGAAAGAAGAAAAAAAAAAAAAAAAGAAUCUUCGCAAUUUAUGCUGUUGGUUGUGAGUUCAUGAAACAAAUAAAAAUAUGAAAUCAAACAUUUAUUCAAAAUUUAAAAUUAAAAAAAAAACUCUAUAUCUACAGUAAUCUGUUCAAACCACAUAGGUGGAGCAAUAUAGUUCCAAGACGUGGUUUUAAAACAUGUCUUUGUGAUAAACAAUAUCGUGAUACUUGCGCCAAUUCCCAUGGCAAUAAUUGCCUACAUUUAUCCAAGAUCCAUGGCCAGGUUUAGAAUGUGCUAGUCUUCUUUCACUUUCAUAAAUAACCACUACUAGGUAAUCAGAGUGUCGGUCUAAAUUUUUCGGAGAUACAACGUCAAUGUAUGUGCCCGGAGUUGAAGCUGAACGCGCUUAAAUAUGUUCGGAAUUUGAAGUUGAACGCCUGGAAAAGGAUGCAGACUGAAGAAAGGCAAUUCCUGGAAUUUGUCUUUGGUAAGAAAACAUGGCUGCUUAUGCCCUUUGAAAGACUGAAGAAACCAAAUUGAUUAUUGCUGCAAUUUAGUGGCACAUGUACGAGGAGAGGCAUCCAAUUAAACUUGUUCAUAAAAGUAUUGCUGAUAGUUGCAGCCGAUCUCCAGACAAAAUCUUCGUACAAUUUUAUCCGCCAGCAAUUUCGACCAAGAGACCUUGAUGCAGUUCAGACCAAUUCGCCAGUUGAACAUCAAGUUGCCUAGGCAUUGAGAAUUAGGUCAAUAAAAUAUAUCCUGGGUCACUUACAAAAGAUGAAAUAAGUGAAAAAGGAAAGAUGACGUAAUAAUUUCUUAGUGAGAAAAGUUAGUUAAUUUGCAAAGGUCUUAGAUAAUCAAUUUGAUGUAAAAAUAUCAAAAUUUUUUUUAAUCAGUGAAAUAUUCAACCUCUAGUUUCAGCACUACAAAUGAAUUAAAUAGAAUAAUGAUAGAUAUUUUAAAAUUUUAUCCCAAAUGAUGUGAUAUGUAAUGUAUCAUUCAUUAAGUAGUUGAUGAUUUUUUUAUAAAUUUUAAGUGGAUUAAUUAUAUUAUUUUACCAACGAGUAAAUAAAUGUCACAUCAUUAGAGAAGAAAUUUUAAGGUAAAACUUUUCAAAUAUAUAUCACUACUCCAUUAAAUAUGGUAUAAAAAAUCUAAUAGGGACCAAAAAUAUAAAAACCCAUUAAAAAUAAAAAAUAUAAAAGUCAAUUCCUAAUUAGAAGAAUGAAAGUUUGUUUCUCCUACAAUCAUUUCACUAGAUUUUAAAUAAAUUAAUUAAUGAAAAUUUUUAAUAACAAAUCGGUGCCUAAACCUAACGUCUUUUUUUUUUUGGUCUUAUCCACGAGGUAUCCUGGGGAGGGCCCCAACUGUGGGAGGCACCUUUAAGCCCGUACCACAACCCAGACUAGAAGUCCCCGCUCGAACCGGGAGGCACAGGUUCUCCCAACAAAGGCGACUUCCCCGCGACUCGAACUGGGGAGCAAACCCAGUCAAGCCACUUAAGGGGACUCCAUUGCCAGUGGAGCCAACACUUUGUUGGUUAAACCUAACGUCUUUGACAGUGCUGCCAAUAUCACUCACAACUUACAAGAAAAUUUUGGUAUUAAAUUUAUUAAUGUUCUCAAGGAAUUUUUAGUUUGACUUUGCAUUCUCAGACCCAUUUGUCACAUAACACGUUAGCAAAGACCUUUAAUGAGAAUAUUAAAACAGCUGUCGAAUAAGCAUCUUGACGACGACUUUUUGACAUAUAUGCAUGCCUCCUUUUGUGAACAAAUUUGAAACAUAAAAGAAAAUUUUGAUCCAUGUGAGAGCUGGAGUAUUUUAUAGCUUUUGACCUCAUUAAUUAUGAGUAAGGGAAUAUUUCUACGUCACUAACGAUUAACAUGAUCACUAUAUAAAGGGAAGCAAAGUAUGUUUAGCAUCAAGUCAGAAAACACAAUUUUUAGGAAAUGGGAACUCUAGGACAGGCGAAGCAAUGGCCUCAAUUGGUUUGUGCUAUGGCAUUUUUGCUCAUAGCCACCACAACCGCAAAGGCAUCAGCUGAUGAUUAUGGCCCAGCACCAUCACCAAAGCAUGCAAAGCACCCUCCAAGCCAUUACAAGCCACCGAAACCACCAAAGCACCACGAGUCACCACCACCAUACUACUAUAACUCACCACCUCCACCAGUACAUUCUCCUCCACCACCUUAUUACUAUAAGUCUCCACCACCACCUUCUCUAUCUCCACCACCUCCUUACUAUUAUAAAUCACCACCACCACCGAAACAUUCUCCUCCACCUCCUUACUACUACAAAUCACCACCUCCUCCUUCUCCCUCUCCACCUCCACCAUAUUAUUACAAGUCUCCCCCACCACCAUCUCCAUCUCCCCCACCGCCUUACUACUAUAAAUCCCCACCACCACCAAAAUAUUCUCCUCCACCACCUUACUACUAUAAGUCACCACCUCCACCAGUGAAAUCUCCACCUCCGCCAUAUUACUAUAAAUCACCACCACCACCAAAACAUUCUCCCCCACCACCUUACUACUACAAGUCACCACCACCACCAAUGCAUUCUCCCCCACCACCUUACUAUUACAAAUCUCCACCACCACCAAAGCAUUCUCCUCCACCACCACCUUAUUACAAAUCACCACCCCCACCACCACCAAAACAUUCUCCCCCACCACCUUACUACUAUAAAUCUCCACCGCCACCAAAACAUUCUCCUCCUCCACCAUACUACUAUAAGUCACCACCUCCACCUGUAAAGUCUCCACCUCCACCACCUCACUACAAAUCACCACCACCACCAAAACAGUCUCCUCCACCACCUUAUUACUACAAGUCACCACCCCCACCAGUAAAGUCUCCACCACAGCCACCAAAGCAUUCUCCCCCGCCACCUUACUAUUACAAAUCACCACCUCCACCAAUGAAGUCUCCACCACCGCCACCUUACUAUAAAUCACCACCACCACCAAAUUCUCCCCCUCCACCUUACUAUUACAAAUCACCACCACCACCAAAGCAUUCCCCCCCGCCACCUUAUUACUAUAGAUCUCCACCACCACCAAAGUAUUCUCCCCCACCACCUUACUACUAUAAGUCACCACCUCCACCAAAGCAUUCUCCCCCGCCUCCUUACUAUUACAAAUCUCCACCACCACCUUACUAAUACAAAUCUCCACCACCACCAUCUCUAUCCCCACCUCCAUCUUCCAUUUACACCGCCACCAUCUACAUCACCUCCACCACCAUCUCCAUCAUUGUCACUAUUGCCUUCCGACUACUCCAUGUGAUCACCACCUCCCGAAGACUUCUAAGUUCAAUGUCCCUUCUUGAAACAAGUUUAAAAUUCAAUAAGAAAAAAUGUGUUCCUUCGGUUGCCCUUUUUAUGAUUUUUUAUGUUAAUGUUUUUAUGAAUAAUUUGUAAGAAGCGUUGGGUGUAUCAUUUGUCAUGUGCAAUAAAAAUUUCUAACUUGAUGUAUCCUAAAAAAAAAGUAUUGUGCCAAAAGAAUUAUUCUAUUGUUUUAUCACAAAUGUGUUGUGGCACAUGUAAUGCGCCUGGAUGAAGUAAUAUUAUGUCUUAAUGAAUAAUCAUGCACAACAGUGAUCAUGUACAUAGUUCUUCCAAUGUCAUGAUAAUGUCCAUGCACGUAAUAAAUAACUUCUUCCUUAUAAUAUCAAAGAAAAUGAAGAUACAAACCUUUUAUUCUCUAAUCAUUUAGUCAAACAAAAUUGUUUUAAUUUAGGUUUUGAUCAAUCUUAAUGCUAAUAAAUUCUAACUACAAAUCAAAUACAAUAUCAGCAAAAAUCAUAUUUUAAAUGAAUCAAAAAACAAACACUAGACUUAACCAAGCAGUUAACCUUUAUUAUUCUCCUCAGCAAAGGAUACAAAGAUGUAGGUAGAUUACAAGUUAUCACUGAAAAAAUAGAAAUCAUCUAAAAUGGUGAACAAAUGAGCUCUAAAUAUGUUGCACUCAUUUGUUCAACUAAGCAAUAGAAUUACCCUUUUCCAUUUUAACUGCUUGUCUGCUUUAGCAUGGCAACUUUAAAUAACACCCUUCAACUUGAAAAUUUUGAAUAACCAGAGCGAUCAAUAAUUGUAAAUCUUGAAAAAAAAAAUUUAGUUUAAUUAAAGCCAUAAACAUAAUAUUAAAUAAAAUGAAAAAAAGGUAGUAAACGUAGUGUUGAACUACUUUAUACUUGUGAACUAACUUUUGAUGUUGAUUAAGAUCAUGGACCCUCAACUUUUGUAUUAUGAAUAUGCUCAUGUCCUAUCUUAGGUCUCCUCUAUAAACCACCUUUUUUUAAAAAAUUAUAUUCAUUAUGAUACUAAGGUACAAGCAGAAGUAAGAUUCCUUUAAUAUUUUUGUAACCAGGAUGUGGCAACCUAGGUGAUACGUGAAUUGGUUUUUUGCACAUUUUGCUAUAUUUUUUUGUGUGUAUGCUUGCUGUUUUUCUCUUUGUUCCAACAAUUUCCACAUGAGGAUAAUCUCAUUUUAACAAAGAAAGAUACCACUAAAUUACUACAAAACAUGAAUUCUAAUAUACUAGAAACUAUUCUUUUUUUUUUUUGCCUUUUCAUAUAUUAGAGUUAUGUUUUUAUCAUCUUAGUGGCAUAUAUGCAUUUUAACUAAAUGAGAAUAUUCUCAUUUCAGAAUUAUUAAUAAGAGAGUAGUAGACAAAUGAUACAAAACUAUGCUGCUUUACUAUUAACAACACAUUCAAUGGAGUAAUGAUAGAGAGUAAAUUCUAACACCACAUGAAAACAAACAAAAGUUGAAAUAUUUUAGCUAAUACGUUUAAAGUUUGAAUUAGUAAUAAAAUUGUCUCAGAAAACUGCCUUAAUGGAAUUAAUGUGAGAUUUAUUGGUCGGUUGUAUCAAUAUCAUUUUCCGGAAAAAAAAAAUUUAGUCAAAAUAUGAAAGGUUUGUUCUGCAAGUGGUUGAUAUUGCUGUACAUUAAUAUCAAAGAUACAUUAAGUUCGUACCAAAUUUUAUUAUAAAAUUCAUAAAUGUAUAAGUAGAAGAUUUUAUAAAUUAAUUCCAGGUAAAACGUCGGUGAUGUGAAUAAAUGGUGAAGAGAAAGCUCUAAUAAUUAUAGUAAUAACAGUGAGAAGCUAGCUCAUCAUCGAGUUGUAAGAUAUAUUUUUGAAUUUUCUUGAACACGCUUUGACGUACGAUUAGCAAAAAAGUCUGUCUAUGAGCAAUCGGUCGUACACAGCUUAACUAAACCAUUGACAUUGUAAUUAAUUGAUGAGCUUUUUCUAAUUUCUAUGAAUCAAAUGCAGAUAUUUAGUGGGCAACUACCAACCCUUGCUUGGCAAAAUAUAGGAAAGAAAAACGUGAAAUUUAUAAAUGUUACAUUUUUUUAGAUGAAUAAUUUUGAGAUAAUGUUUCAGUUUCCGAUAUUGUUAUCUAUACCUAAUUAUAGAUAAUAAAGAAAUAUUUUCUAAUUUUUUUUAUCAACAUUUACAAUACAUUUUAUUUUUAUUUCUAAAAAAAUAGAUAAAGCACAAAUUAAUUAUUUUAACCCUCUAUCUUCACAAUAUUUAAACUCGAAUAAUCAGUUAAAGUUGUUCGAGAAUGUUUAAAUGCCAUUUAAGUAUACCACGUCAUUCAUAUUUUGCAAUCAUCCAAUUGUGAGGAUUCCCAUGUACUGAAAAUAAAUAGAAAUACACAUGCAUAUGUCAUAUUGUCUCUGAACCGCAGAAUGAUUGUAGUACUUGCAAUGCGUGUAUUUUAGACUUUGUCUUUCUCUGAUUUAAAUGAUCUAUAAUUUUCCUUUGUCCUUUAAUUAGAAGUCAGCAGUCAAAGUUGUGGGCAAGUAGGAUAUAUAUAGUAAUUUCCUUGAGAUCUUCUGUCUUCUAAGACAUUGUAAACACCAAACGUGAUCACUAUUUUGAUCAUUCAAAUACUACAUAAAAUAUAUGAAAUGUGAGACAAGUCAAAAGAAUUGAUUCUUCACAAUUGUAUAUAGUAUUAUUUGAUUCUGCCUCCCACCUAUACACACACACACACACACACACACACACACACAUAUACCCUGAGCAGGAUUUACAUUUUGUCUUUACAUUUUCCACAACGCCUUUAAUUUUUACAGUGAUUAAAAAAGGCCAAAAUAUUGAUGUAUUACCUCCAACUACUAUUUAGACUUUGUUCAAAUCCCAUUGUAUCCAGGCUGUAAUUUUUAUAUUAAACAAACAUAUUUUAUUUUAUGUCAGCAAUAUUGAUGACAAGAUCACUAUAUAAAGAGUAGCAACUAGGUUGUUUAUACAAGUCACAAAACAUAAUUUCACUUUGAAUUUUAAAAAGAUUAAUGAAGUUCAUACAAAUGCUAUUAUGGAUUUUUUUUUCUUUGGACGUUGUUUUGUGAAUCAUAAGGGUUAAUUUAAUAAGGUGGGUUCACUUGUAUAAAGCGCACUCAUUUUACCAUACUGUUGCAAGCAAUGAAAAAACGCUAUAAUCUUUUUAAGUUUCUACAAGUAUUAUGUUAUCAUAUAUCCAAAUGUGCAUCUGUAUUCUUUGCUCUCAGUUCCGGUUCUCUAGAAGUAUGUUAAUUAUGAAAAGCAUUAAAGGUUCCAAAACUCUAUUUUGCGGGGAAAAAGAACCUCCAUUUUUGGUUUUUUAUUAUAUGAGGUUUUACCGCGCUCGUAAUAACUUAAUCGAAAUUAAACUUAUCACUGGUCUAUAUUUUUUAUCAGAUUUUGUGACUAACUAAGAUGAGUAUCACCAGCAAAUCAACAAAGCUAAUACCUUUGUCUACUCGUUCAAAGGAAAAUAGAGUACAAGCCGGGAGAGGGGGAAAAAUGCUUAGCAAUUUAUACUGUUGGUUGCGAUAUCAUGCAACAAAUAAAUAUAUGAAAUCAAACAUACAUCCAAAAUUUAAAGUAAAAAAAAAAAAUCUAAAUCUUGAGUAAUCUAGCUGAAAUUCUGUUCAACCCACAUAGGUGGAGCAAUAUAGUUCCAAGACUUGGUUUUAAAACAUGUCUUUGUAAUAAACAACAUCAUGAUGCUUGCGCCAAUUCCCAUUCCGAUAAUUGCCUAUAUUGAUCCAAGAUCCAUGGCCAGGUUUAGAAUGUGCUAGUAUUCUUUCUCUUCCAUAAAUAACCAUUACUAUGUAAUCGGAGUGCGGUCUAAAUUUUUCGGGGAUAAAACGUCAAUGUAUGUGCCGGAAGUUGAAGCUGAAUGCACUUAAAUAUGUUCGGAAUUUGAAGUUGAACGCCUGAAAAAGGGUGCAGACUGAAGAAAGGCAAUUCCUGGAAUUUUUUUUGGUAAGAAAACAUGACUGCUUAUGUCCUUUGAAAGACUGAAGAAACCAAAUUGAUUAUUGCUGCAAUUUAGUGGCACGUGUACAAGGAGAGGCAUCCGAUUAAACUUGUUCAUAAAAUUAUUGCUGAUAGUUGCAGCCGAUCUCCAUGAAGUACAAACCCAACGCAAAGAAACAAAGUGUUCGUACAAUUUUAUCCGCCAGCAAUUUCGACCAAGAGACCUUGAUGCAGUUCAGACCAAUCACCACUUGAGCAUUUGUUAGGAAAUUGGUGGAUGAAGCAGACACGCAUCUAAAAUAAAAUUGGAAGAAAAAUAAAGAACAAGCACAAAAAGGACACCAAGAAAUUACGUGGUUCGACUUUUAGCCUACGUCCACAGACGAAUACAGAAGGAAAAUAUUUUACUAGUGAAAAGAAGUUACAAGUAUUGUGAUAUUUUAACUCACUACCCAAAAUCUCAAUACACCCAAACUCUCAAAACACUAAUCACUCAAGAGUUUAUUAAACUCUUAAUACUCUCAAUUUCCUAUAGGAAGGAAAUGCUUCUCUCUCGAUGGAAUGCUUCAGCUCUUCAUCUGCACUUCUAUUUAUAGAAAAAUAAUGGCCAAGAAAUCAACGAUUUUAGCCCAACAAUUAUGGCUUCAAUUUCGUCAAUCUGUGUGGCUUCAAUUUUGUCAAUCUAGCGUUCAAAAUUUGUGGGUUGUGUUCUCCAUUUUCUUUGAUUUGCUGGCACCAAAGUCAAGUACCAAAUUUGGUGCUGACUUUUAGGUGUUUGCUUUGACAUUCUCCCACUUGGAGAUUAAAUUGAAAAUUAAUCAAUCUCCACACCAUCCUUUCUAUUUCGUCAUAAUCAUGUUGCCUACAUUUCUGCUAGGCCAUAAGAGGAUCUACUUCAGACAAACUUGUCAAUAUUUAUUGGCUUGGUCAAAACAUCUGCUAGGUCUUCCACUACUUCUCGAAUGAAGUGAUACUGACUUCCUAUAUGCUUUGUCCUGGAAUGAAAUACUGAAUUUCUUGCAAUAUGCAAGGCACUCUAACUGUCACAAUACACAUAAAAUUUCUCUUGUUUGUACCCGAGCUUCUCCAAUAACCUUUGUAUCCAGAUAGCUUCCUUGUAAGCUUGUGUAGCUGCCAUGUAUUCUGCUUCUGUUGUAGAUAAAGCCACAACGAUCUGCAGUUUCGAAACCCAGCAUACAACUCCUCCUGCAAGUGUAAACACAUAACCAGUAGUUGAUUUUCUUUUAUCAAUGUCUCCUACAAAAUCUAAAUCCACGUAGCCCCUAAUAGUAAAUUCUUAUCCUCCAUAACAUAAUAUAACAUCUGAGGUUCCUCUGAUAUAUCUCAGAAUCCUCUUUACAGCUAUUCAAUGCUCUCCACCACGAUUCGCCAUGUAUCGACUGACUGCUCCCACUGCUUGUGCAAUGUCUAGUCUAGUACAUAUCAUAGCGAAUAUCAAACUUCCCACUGUUGAUGCAUACGGUACUCGAGACAUCUCCUUCCUCUCUGCUUCAUUGUUAGGACACAUACUUGAGGAUAAUUUGAAAUUAACAGGAAGUGGGGUAGAAAUUGGCUUACGAUACUGCAUGUUGAAGCGUCACAAGAUUUUCUUCAAGUAGUUCUUCUGAGAAAGCCAAAUCUUCAUGUUAUUUCUGUCUCGGUGAAUUUACAUCCCUAGAAUCUUGUUUGCUGAUCCCAAGUCCUUCAUUUCAAACUCUCUAGCUAAUUGUGCCUUCAAUUCUUGGAUUCGAUCUUUGUUAAGGCCUGCUACCAACAUGUCAUCCACAUACAAUAGCAAAAUAAUGAAAUCAUUAUCUUCAAACCUUUUGUAAUAUUCACAAUUGUUUGAACUGAGUCUGUUGUAUCCAAGGCUCAUGAUAAAGGAAUCAAGUCUCUUAUACCAACAUCUCGGCGCCUGUUUGAGAUCGUAUAGAGAUUUGUUCAACCUGCAAACCAAAUUUUCCUUUCCUAUUUCUGCAAAACCUUCUUAUUGGAGCAUAUAUAUUUCUUCUUCAAGUUCUCUAUGAAGAAAUAUAAUUUUCACAUCCAACUGCUCAAGAUAUAAGUCAAAUGUAGCACACAUCGCUAAGACUACUCUGACUGUUGUGAGUCGAACUACCAGAGAAAAUAUCUCGUUGAAGUCAAUACUUUCUUUUUGAACAUAUCCUUUCACCACCAAUCUUGCACGAUACCGUUCCACUUGGUCAUUGCCAUCACGUUUGAUCUUAUAGACUCAUUUGUUUCCAAUAAUAUUUCUUCUACGUGGUAGUGGUACAAGUUCCCAUGUCUUGUUCUUGUGUAGAACCUCAAUUUCUUCCUGCAUUGCUGUCAUCCACAAAGUAACAUCUGAGCUGUUUAAAGUUUCAUGGAAAUUUGAAGACUCUCCAUCCUCUAUUAGAAGACAGUAAGCAAUAUUGAUCUCUGUGACAUACUCCGAGUGCCACACUAGCGGUUGUCUCUCACGAGUUGACUGACGAACUUCUGGAGCCUCGGACUCGACUGGUUCUUGUUCCUCGUGCUCUGGUGCUGCUUUAGAAGAAUCUGAAUCUUCUGGAUUAUUUUCCACGUAUACCUGCACAAUCUCUAACUUUUCUUUUACAGUGCCAUCAUCUCAAUCUUUCCUUUGCAGAUGAUCUUCUACAAAAAUAACAUCUCUGCUAAUGACGAUCUUGUGGGCAGUGGGGUCCCACAGACGAUACCUCUUUACUCCAUCAGCAUAUCUCAAUAAGAUACAUCUUCUAGAUUUUGGAUCUAGCUUUAUUCUUUCUUGGGCAUUGUAUAUCACGUACACGAGACAUCCAAAUGCAUGUAGGUAUGAGUAAUCAGCUGGCUUUCCAGUCCACAUCUUCAUCGUUGUCUUCAGCCCAAUUGCUAUAGAUGGUGACCGAUUUACUAUAUAACAGACAGUUUUGGCUGCUUUUGCCCAGAAUGAAUUAGGUAAACCAGCAGUCCUUAACAUAUCUCUUAUUCUUUCUGUAAGAGUUCUGUUUAUCCACUCUGCCACUCUGUUUUGUUGAGGAGUGUAUGCUAUCAUGAACCGCCUCUGAAUACCUUCUUGCUUACAGAAAGCAAGAAACUCGUCGUUUGUAUACCCUCCACCAUUAUCUGUCCUCAAGCACUUGAUCUUUUUACCAGAUUUAAGUUCCACCCGCGCUUUGUAUUCUUUAAACACUAGAAAAACAUCUGACUUUUUCUUAAUUAGAUACACCAACAUUUCCUAGAAUAAUCAUCAAUGAAAGUCACCAGUACUUUGCACCUCCUAUGGACAUAUCCGGUGAUUCCCAAACAUCAAAAUGAAUCAAGUCUAAAAUGCAGUUACUUCUAGCAACAGAUCUACAGAACUUUAAUCUAUACUGUUUACUUAUAACACAAUGCUCGCAAAAUGGUAAACUUACCGAUUUGAGCCAUGGAAGCAAUUUUCGCUCAGAGAGAAUCUUCAAACUUUGUUCCAACAUGUGGCCAAGUUUGAGGUGUCACAUCAUCGUUGAUUCUUCUCCAUUUGACGCGACACACACAUCAGCCUCCUAUAGUGUUUCUCCUUUAAGCAUGAAUAGAUUAGCAUCGAUCUUUUCUGCCUUCAUCAAUACAAGCGUGCCUUUAACGAUCUUUAUAAUUUCAUUCUCUAUAUGAGUUUUGUACCCAUGGCUAUCCAUUUGUCCCAAAGACAAUAGAUUUUUCUUCAUGCCGUUAACAUGUCGUACUUCCCCAAUUGUGCGAAUUGUACUAUCAAAUAUUUUUAUUUUGAUAGUACCAAUACCAGCGAUCUCCAAGGCAUGAUCAUCUCCCAUAUAUACAGAUCCUCCUGAGAUAGGUUCAUAUAUGAGGAACCAUUCUCUCCGAGAGGUCAUGUGCUAGGUAGCUCCUGAGUUUAUAAGGCAGACAUCAGAUAAUUGUUUUCUGCCUUCUGAAACAGUUGUUGCCUCGCUGUAGAGAAUUUUGCCAUCAUCUGAGGUACUUGCUACACACCCCUGAGCAUUUUAUAACUCGGGUUCUUUGCCUUCUUUUCUCUUCUGAUUACUCCAACACUCUUUCUUGAUGUGCCCUUUCUUACCACAGUUGUAGCAUUUAACAUUCUUCUUACUUCUGGAUUUUGAUCUACCAUGAUUGUGACUCCCACUGGGACCACGUUCCAUUGAUCUCCCUCUCGUCACUGAUAGCGCCUCCGCUUGCUACGAACUUGCUUGUCUGUUUUCUUUAUUUUUUUUGUCUGCUCUCCUCAUUUAAUACGGAGGCUGCAACAUCGUCGAAAACCAGACUAUCCGCUGGAUUUUUGUUCGUCAUGUUGAUGAUGAGUUGAUCAUAUGAAUCUGGUAGACUUUGAAGUAGAAGCUCUGCACGUUCAUUUGCCUCUAUAUUAUGACCCAACGUUGUGAGUUGUGAAAAUAGAGUCUUCAAGGUGUUGAUGUGUCAUUCGAAGAGUAUAGAGUUUCCUCUUCGAAGAGUAUAGAGUUUCCUCUUCAAGAAAUAAAUUUAUCAAAGAUAAAAUGGAGACAAAUGUAAAUAAAAAAAAAUGAAAAAGCAAUAAAUUAUUGAAGUUGUUUGUGAGUUUAUUCGACAGAUAAUGGAUGCGUAUGCCUUACCUGCUAUUAAGAUUAAUUAGCUUCUUCAUUAACCGAAUACGAAAUAUUGAGGGGGAAAAAAACACAUAAUUGAAUCUUGAUUAAGCUAAAAGAAAUAACUCUGUUCAACCCACAUAGGGAGAGCAAUACGGCUACUAGACUUAUCCAUAAAAUGGGGGACAAUACUAUCAUCUCGAAUAUCAUAGAUUCCCAUGUUCUUACCGUUUACUUUCCAUUUAUCAGUGAAUUGUAUUUCUACUUGAGAACAAUCAGUAAAGUAUAUGCAAUUUCGUUCGCAGAUCGAGGAGUCCAAUAUUUCAAUAGAAAAAGAAGAAUUAAGACCCAAGAAGAGUGCUCUAUUUCCCAAAUCCUUGACCUUCGUCCAUGUAUUAGUGGUUAAAUCCACCUCAAAAACCUGAAACUUAUUCGCUCUACUUCGUGUGACAACCACCAAUGCCCCUCCAGAUUCUACCAAAUAUAGUAUUGAAGAGGACAUAAGUAACGAGAUUGACAUCCGUGCCACAACAAUCAAGUUAUUAGGAACGUGACCAGUAAAAUCACAAACAAAUAUAUAACCGAGCCAAUUUAUAGCAUAAAACCUGCCUUUGUGAUAAAUAACAUCAUGAAACCUGUACCAAUUCCCAGUGUCUACAGUGAUCCAAGUUUCUUGGCCUGGUUUAAAAUAAGCUAGUCUUCUUUCACUUCCACAAACAACCAUUACCGUAUAAUCAGAGUGUCGCUCCAAAUUACUCGCAGAAACAACAAAUUUUUUGAAGAAGAAGGGAUGGUCGACGCAAUAUUCCCAGGGCAUAAACGUACGUAUGUUCGGAAGUUCAAGUUGAACCCAUGAAAAGGAUUCAAAAGACUUGCAUUUAGAUUUUGAACAUGGAGUCUCAGAAGCCAACCCUUGGAAGAAAGGCAGUUCCUGUGGGAAUUUGCUUCUGGUAACAAAAUACGGCGGCUCAUGCCCCUUGACAGACUGAAGAAACCACGUUGAUUAAUAUCGCCGCAAUUUAGUGGCAUAUGCAUAAGGAGAGGCAUCUGAUUAAACUUGUACAUAAAUUUUUUGAUAGCUGCAGCCCAUCUCCAUGAAGUACAAACCCAACGAAAAGAAACAAAAUCCUCGUACAAUUUUAUCCGCCCAGCAAUUUCGACCAACAGAUCAUGAUGAAGUUCCGAUCGACCAAUUCGCCAUUUCAGAGGCCACUCGACUAGAGAUUAAUUGAAAUACCCUAACCCCUUAAGACUAAUCUCGCUCUCUCUCUCUUGUUGAAAAUUGAGUAAAAAAAAAAAGAGAGUUGAAAAGUCAAUUUGGAAGAUAUCAUUUGAAUUCAAUUUGGAGAUAGUCGAGAAGUUUGAUAAGCAAUUAGAAGUGGUCAAAACUAUUGAAAUGGUGGCUAUUGAAUGUUGAAAAAUUGGCUUGAUUUUAGGCAAAAUCUUGCCUAUAAAAGGAAGCUCUCAUUUGAGAGCUUGGCAUCCCAAAUCCCAGAGAUGGAAUCCAAGUUUUGGUGAGAAAUUAAGAGGGAGAAAUAUUCUUAAGCAUGUAGUUAUAUUGAAGGAGCAUUUGGCUCCUCAAUACAGGUAUUAUGGGUUUGCUUUGUUAAGGGAUAUUUCUCAAGAUUAUGUAUUUGGGGCUUGGGUGAGAGAAAAUUUAUGAGAGUGUGGUUGUAAUAAUUUUCCACAUAGUGAAUAUUUUUUUUUCUCUGGUUGUCUUGUGACAACGGCCGUGGUUUUUCUCCGGAUUUAGAGUUUUCCACGUAAAUCUUGUGUUGUGUGAUUGGUAUAUUCUCCAUUCAAUUUUUCUUAUUAAUUUGUUGCUUGAUAAAUUGCUUGGAGAGAUCUUGGGAGGAAACUCAAUUUCCUAACAGUGGUNNNNNNNNNNNNNNNNNNNNNNNNNNNNNNNNNNNNNNNNNNNNNNNNNNNNNNNNNNNNNNNNNNNNNNNNNNNNNNNNNNNNNNNNNNNNNNNNNNNNNNNNNNNNNNNNNNNNNNNNNNNNNNNNNNNNNNNNNNNNNUUUUGGCACCUCAAGAAAAUUGUCAAGAAGGUGGAGUGGGCUCGGUAAAUUACUCCAGAAUCAGUAAAGGAGAUAAUGAUAUUCUCGUAGAUAGUGAGUUUCCUUUUGAUAGGAGAUUGGGUUAGUUCUUUUGGCAUGUAAAUCUCCAAGUUGCCAUGAAAGAGAACAUGCUAUGAUCAGCGGGGUACACAAGUUUGCACGCGGGCAUUGGCUUGGUAUAAAUGCAAGGUGUGUGAUGGAAAAGUUAUGUCAUGGCUGAAGAAUUCUCAGGGAAACCAAGCAUGAGAAUUGCACCAUAAUUUUCAGCGGAUAUGUUCGACAUGUGCCGAAAAAAAAAAAUCUUAGAAUGGUUAAUUCUAAGUGUUAUACUCUUUAUGGUGGAGUAUGAUAAUUCUCUAUGUUGAGAAUUAUGACUGUUGGUGAAGACAGUGCUUUGUAACAUUAGUUAUGAAUUUUUUUUUUUUUUUUUAUCAAGGUGGAGAUUGUUGAAAAUUGAUUAAAAAAAAAAGAGUUGAAAAGUCAAUUUGGAAGAUAUCAUUUGAAUUCAAUUUGGAGAUAGUCGAGAAGUUUGAUAAGCAAUUGGAAGUGGUCAAAACUAUUGAAAUGGUGGCUAUUGAAUGUUGAAAAUUUGGUGAGAAAUUAAGAGGGAGAAAUAUUCUUAAGCAUGUAGUUAUAUUGAAGGAGCAUUUGGCUCCUCAAUACAGGUAUUAUGGGUUUGCUUUGUUAAGGGAUAUUUCUCAAGAUUAUGUAUUUGGGGCUUGGGUGAGAGAAAAUUUAUGAGAGUGUGGUUGUAAUAAUUUUCCACAUAGUGAAUAUUUUUUUUUCUCUGGUUGUCUUGUGACAACGGCCGUGGUUUUUCUCCGGAUUUAGAGUUUUCCACGUAAAUCUUGUGUUGUGUGAUUGGUAUAUUCUCCAUUCAAUUUUUCUUAUUAAUUUGUUGCUUGAUAAAUUGCUUGGAGAGAUCUUGGGAGGAAACUCAAUUUCCUAACAUCUCUCUCUAUCUAUAUAUAUAUAUAGUGUAUGUUAACUAGAAAACCUUUUUCAAAUCGGAGGCGUACAAAAAAUUAACAUAGUAAUUUUGUACAUUGCGACAAGAAUCUAGUUAUGAAUUCUACUAAAAUCAGGAAAAGCAAGUCAAUUCCAAAUAGAACAAGAGUGGUAAAAUUGAAAUAACAAAAGUACUAUUCAAAUAAGAAAACUAGUAUGGGCUUGUAUGUAUCUGUCAAUUGGAUUCGGCCAAUAGCCAGUGCACGACCCACCAAAACUAGUGGGCAAUGAUCUCGUUAGCCAUUAUGGUUCUGUCAAUUAUACAUUAUGUGUUAGAUUGAAGACGUAGAAAAGGUGAACUUAAUGAGGAAAAAAGAAAGAAAGAAAGAAAGACGUCGUAAUAAUUUCUUUGUAAUGCUGCUAACCUAAGAUAAAUUGAAUCAAAUAGAAAUAGAACUGGGGUACGUGUGGUUGAGCUUGCUUUUGUUAAAUGGACAUCUCGUUCCCCUCUAAAUAUUCCCCUCUUGCCAUGUUUGCUCGCGGUGAAUUUUGUCAAAUUCUUUGGUUCUUUUCGAACCAGAGACGUGAAAAAAGAUUAAAUAAAUAAAAAAUAAUCAUAAUUUCAUUCUGUUAUUCCACAUUAUAUUUAGUUAUAGUAGGAUAAGGUCAAUCAAGUCAAAUCAAUCAUGAGUUUCAUUUGACUGGAUACUUGAGUUCUAACCCCCUUAAAAAAUAAAAAUGUCAAAAUAUGAAUAGUUUCUAUAUAUUGCUCAAGGAAAAUCAAGAGAAAAAUUAGAAUCAAUCAAGCACGGAGAAUUGCAAGGAGAAUAAUGGAUACUUAAACAAUAUACUGUUUUUAAUUACAAUAUAAUCUCCAAUGAUCUUAGAAACAAAUAAUUACUUAUGAAGCAUUGCAAGUAGUUUAUGUUGAAGUAAAAUAGAAACGUAAUUAAGAAUGAAAAAUACGUCAACAUUGUAGCUGCUUCUAAUUUUAGGCAGCAAAAUAAAUUUGAAAUCAAAUAUACAAACCAAUUUUUUUUAAAAAAAUAAAAUCUAAUCGUAAGUAAGCUAACUAAAAUAAUUAUGUUCAAGCCACAUGGAGAGAGCAAUACGGCUACUAGACGUACCCGUAAAAUGUGGGACAAUGCUACCGCGUCCAAUGCCGUAGAUUCCCAUGUCCUUGCCCUCAUUGGAGCCCCUUUCUACUUGACAAUCAUCAGUGAAAUAUGCCCCUCCUGAUUCUACCAAAUAUUACCGCUGCCCCAACGAAGACCAAGACAUUUAACACUUGUGCCAUAACCGUCAAAUUAAAUUAGAAUCCUCAGCACUAAAAUCACAAACAACUAUCCGCCCACACUUAGCUACAGCUAGAAUAAAACUUAUCUUUGUGACAAAUAACAACAAGCCUCUCCCAUUCCAAGUGUGUACACUGAUCCAAGAUUUUCGGCCUUGUUGGAAAUAACCAUUACUAUGUAAUCAGAGUUUUCCAGGUUACUCAAUGACACAAUAAAUCGUUUGAAGAAAAUGGAUUGGUGAUCUCGUUGAGGAAAUUCCCUAUAUUAUUACUACAACGUGUUCUAAAUGUGGUCGGAAGUUGAAUUUGAACACGUUAGAAAGGAUGCAAAAGAGACUUACAUUGCAAUUUCGAGCGUCAAAUGUUAGAAGCCAACCAUUUGAAGAAAGGCAGUUCCUGCAGGAAUUUGCUUCUGAUAACAAAACACGGUCGCUUAUGCCUUUGAAAGACUGAAGAAACCACAUUUGCUAUUGCUGCAAUUUAGUGGCAGAUGCAUAAGGAGAUGCAUCUGAUUAAACUUGUUCUUUUAAAUGUCAUUAUAUUCAGUUGUUAUUUUGUUUUGUUGACAAUAAUUUGUUUAGGUGUCAGUUAUUUAGGACCUAGUCAAGUAAGUGGUGGACUUAGUCUACGACUUGGUAGGAAUUAUUGCCCACUUACCUUUUUUUCAUGCUUAGAGUUGCCUGUCUUUAGGAAUAACCGUUGUCUUUUUGUUUAUAAAGGUUCAGUAAAUAAAGAUGCAUAGGUAACUCUGAAUUUGAACAACACCGGUGUGUUUCACAGGGAGGUGCAGGGUCUCUCGAACGAUUCUGAUUUAUUUUCUUGCUUUCCUUCUUAAAUAUUUCAUCUUGCAUCCAAAAUGUUAGGCAGGACUAACAAGACUGAUUCAAGCUCGCUGUACCAUGUUCGUAAAGCUGUUGAUAGUGCCAGCCAAUCUCCGUGAAGUACAAACCCAACAAAAAGAAACAAAGUCUUCAUACAAUUAACUAUUUGAAGAAUAAAUGUGACAUUUUAAUUGGAAAAUUAACUAAUUGAAGCCAAGAUCUAGAUCCAGUGGUAAAGUGCAAUUUUUAUAGAUUUCAAGUUUUGCGUUUGAAUUUGAAUGGGUGAGUAAAUUAAUAAUAAUAAUAAAACAAAUUAACUAGUUUUAAUCUACAGAGGUCUUAGAUCAUCAAAUAAUGAUAGAACCUCGAAUUUCAUAAAUUUUAAGUUGAAUGAUUACAUUAUUUCACCAUCUAGUGAAUAAAUGCCAAAUUAUUUAAGAAAAAUUUUGAAAAUAAAAUUUUGAGAUAUAUAUCACUACUCAAUUAAAUGUAGUAUAAAAAAUACAUCAGGGACCAAAAAUAUAAAAAUCCAUUAGAAAUUAAAAAAAAAUAUAAAAGUCAAUUUCUGAUUAGAAGAAUUAAAAUAUCAUUCUCCUAUAAUCAUUUCACUAGAUUUUAUAUAUAUUUAUUACAGCAAAAUUAAAAUAAAAAAUUGGCACCUAACCCUAACGUCUUUGACAUUGCUACCAAUAUCACUCACUCACAACUUACAAGAAUGAAUCUAGACUUAAUUUUCCCAGGGAAUUUUUAGUUUGACUUUACAUUUUCAGACCCAUUUGCCACAUAACACCUUAGUUGGUUAACAAAGCCCUUUCAUGAGAAUAUUAAAACUGCUGUCGAAUAAGCAUCUUAACAACCCCUUUUUUGACAUACAUGCAUGCCUCCUUAUGUGAAGAAAUUUGAAACAUAAAAGAAAAUUUCAAUCGAUGUGAGAGUUGGGAGUAUUUUAUAGCUUUUCUCCUCAUUAAUUAUGAAUUAAGAGAAUAUUUCUACGUCACUAAUGAUUAAAAUGAUCACUAUAUAAAGGGUAGCAAAGUAUGUUUAACAUCAAGUCAGAAAACACAAUUUUAAGGAAAUGGGAACUCGGGGACAGGCGAGGCAAUGGCCUCAAUUGUUUUGUGCUAUGGCAUUUUUGCUUAUAGCCACCACCACCAAGGCAUCGGCUGAUGAUUAUGCCUCAGCACCACCACCAAAGCAUUCUCCUCCACCUCCUUACGACUACAAAUCACCACCUCCUCCUUCUCCCUCUCCACCGCCACCAUAUUAUUACAAGUCUCCCCCACCACCAUCUCCAUCUCUUCCACCGCCUUACUACUAUAAAUCACCACCUCCACCAAAAUAUUCUCCUCCACCACCUUACUACUAUAAGUCACCACCUCCACCAGUGAAAUCUCCACCUCCGCCAUAUUACUAUAAAUCACCACCACCACCAAAACAUUCUCCCCCGCCACCUUACUAUUACAAGUCACCACCACUACCAGUGCAUUCUCCCCCACCGCCUUACUAUUACAAAUCUCCGCCAACACCAAAGCAUUCUCCCCCGCCACCUUACUACUACAAAUCUCCACCACCACCAAAACAUUCCCCACCACCACCUUACUACUAUAAGUCACCGCCUCCACCAGUAAAGUCUCCACCACCGCCACCAAAGUAUUCUCCCCCACCACCUUAUUAUUACAAAUCACCACCUCCACCAGUGAAGUCUCCAC
This 62171-nucleotide long non-coding RNA is filed under the name Citrus sinensis (sweet orange). Its description in RNAcentral is "long non-coding RNA (CSIN_LNC000969)". Lineage: Eukaryota; Viridiplantae; Streptophyta; Magnoliopsida; Sapindales; Rutaceae. The record is from RNAcentral.